CUUCAAUUAUGCUGACCAUUUACAGGAGGCAGGAAAGCUUGAUUCCUUUAUGGAGAAGCGACGCAAGAAGAAUGCGUCCAAAGAUCAUCGGUUCAUGCCAUACCGAAGGGAUGGGGGUGCUGCAUAACAAUGCCCCCGAAGCCGCUUUUCGGUUGAUUCGGUCUUGGUCUAUUUUGUGCUCACAGGGUUGUACCAGCGCUCUCUACUAAUCUUGUUGUUGCCCUAGUGUCCCAGAUAUUCACCAGCAACCAUGAGUUGAAGUUAAUCCAUGGACCAUAUAUUUAUAGUUGAGCUCUGGUUGCUGGUAGCAACAUGCAAUUGUAAACCCAAACCAUGGAUAUGAUAUUUUGUUUCAUCUAGUGCUUUAAUUAAUGCCGGUCUUUCUGUGUAAUCAAAGAGUAAAAUACACUUGUUUGUUGCAACUGAACAAUAUAUUCAUUUUGUUAGUUUCCUUGCCGACGUACAGCUGGAAGCACCAACUAUUAAACACUUGGCGAUGGCCGCCACGACGCCCGUUGCAGAUUGCCCCAACACAUGGAAACAGAUAACUUUAACUACGAACUCAGUUCAUUUUAUAUCAUGAUGAAAAUGCUGAUUAGUAACAGUUGGCUGAACUACCAUCACCUUUUGAUUAUAAUAAUGUAUCCACCCGGCCAAUAUAGAUCAAGCUGACACAAAAACAAUUGAGAUAGAUAACCAGAAGCGGCUCAAUCAUUCAUUCAGGCUAGCUACUAGUAGUAGAUUUGUUCUGGAUGGAAGUGCUCUGCAUAGAUAAGAUGUUGCUAGAUCAGACCACCGUUGGCUGACGUAUUAUUGAUUUUCCAUGGCAGUAGUAGGUACGGUGGCUCUUGUCUCCACGACAAUCCUAUCCAGCAUCUAUGCAUGUCAAACCUCAUUGAAUUACUCAGAAAAGGAGCCCAUUCGCUAGAACUGCACACAAAAUGACAGGACAAAGUGAGGAUGUAGAACGUAUUGUACUACUUAGGAGGCAAGAGCAACUCCAACAGUUUGGCUGAAAAUCAUUGAGAUGCAGAGGAAGAAAAAGAGGGGUUCCUUCAUUUUCCACGGGAUGUAGUUGCGAGACGGCGACGUGCCUUGGAUCCUCAUGGAAAGUCCCAUGAACGCUCUAAUCAUCCACGUCGCUGUCUGCUUUCAUUGUUUGAUAGCAGUACAUUGUGCGUACCACGAGCUUAGCGCAGGCGUUAAGGGCUUUGCUCGGAAAGCGACGUGGUUUCUUCAGUUUACAUCAGUUUUAAGGCGAGGAAAGGCCAAAGUAAACAACGGUUGGUUGGAACGUAAGAACACCUGGUUCUAGUUGCUCGAUAGCUUCUUGACGAGGCGGCGUUUUUUCUCUAGAACUCUUCAAAUAACUUCGGAGCCGGAUGUGUAGUGCCAAAAACAAUCUUAUACUUCCUCCGUCCUAAAAUAAAUGUCUUAAGCUUAAUACAAUUUUAUAUUAGAAUUAGUAUAAAGUUAAGACAAUUAUUUUGAUACAGGAAAAAUAUUAUGAAUAGGUCAUUAACGUUAAAAAUAUGGGUGUGGCUAAGUCUCAGUCGACUGAGAUUUAACCAAGUCUCAGUCAAGUGACAUAACAUACAAGACAGAAAAAUAAAAAAUUGAAAAGAAAACUUUGCAUGGAUCUUAAUGUAAGAUCUCACGGAUAUAGCAUCGACCGAGACUUAACGAAGUCUCAGUCGACUGAGACUUAGCAAGACUGUAAAAAUAUUUAUAUAUUAUGGAACAGAGGUAUUUAUAAUUAUGUCUUUGUUAUUAGAGAUAAUAAGAGAACAAAACCCCCUUCUCGGUGUCGCUUUGUUAGCUAGUCUGGGCAUCUGUAGAUUGUUUCUGACGGAAGGCGUGGCACGAUUUUGUGUCCCAUGUAUCGGCGCCUUUCUACUUUUCUUUCAAUACAAGUCUCGUGUUAGGUUCCUGGAAAUAGAGGGGAUGAUGAUAAGUCGAAAAGUAUUUGCUCUGUUGAGUUGGGCAACGCUUGAAAGUUUGGCUCCACAGGACAACUUUGUUUAUCUCGGAAAGCGGCAGUGAAUCUACUUUUUUAUGCUUAGCGAAAAUCAUAUUUCUCAAGCUUUAGAAAAUUGUGAGAAAAGAGACACAUUGGCAGUGGUGGAGUUUCAUCGGAUCAACCUGGGCCAUGCUCUCCAUCCCCAUCCCAGCUCACAAGGAAAACUUAUACAUAUUCCUUUGUAUUAGACCUAUUUCCACUGAAAAGUAGGUGAAAUAGUUAUGUUUGCCCCGUCUAACUCACCCCUUCCCCAUCACAUAUAUUUGGCUCAAGCUCCGCCACCGCACAUUGGUGUUGAAAAAAAAAUUGGUUUUAAAAACUUCAGAAACUAAGUCCCAUACUGGCUUUUCAGAUAAAACACCAUCCAUCAUAGUAAAAUGUGUCAGAGUUAUAUUUAUGGUGGCUUUUGGCCUUUUUCAUUCUCAUCUUUGGCCUCCUUGUACAUGUAUAUAUAUAUGACUAGGAAAAAUGUCCGUGCGUUGCCACGGGUUGGACAAGAAAUAGUUGAAGGGGGUUGCACGGAAGGCUUUCGUCGAGUGCAUUUUUUCUGACUUUGAAGCAUAUUCUUGAGAGUUCAGUUACUAAUUUAAGAGAUGACAUAAAAGCAAACAUGAUGUUUUUUGUGUGACUUCAGUAUGACAUUAUAGAUCGGACAAUCAAUAUAUAAUGACAACACAUAUCUCGCUCGUAAAUUAACGAUCAUAUUGGUAAUAAAAGUAUUAUACACAUAACACUUAUGUUGAGUUAAUAGUAUCACACAAUGAAAAUGUCGUAUACUUCACCUAGCGUCCAGAAAUAUUAUGUGUGUGCGCUAAUCGUAAAGCCUUUGUCAUAUAGAUGCAUUAACUCAACAUAAUGGUUGCCAUGGUCCUCUGCACCACCUUCAAUGUGACCAUCUUCAACAACAUCAAGCAUGUCAUCUUCUUUCUAAUUCAAAACGAUAACUUAUUAAGAACAACUAAAGACUAUAUGGACAUGACAUAUAAAUGUGUAUAUUUUUACGAUGAUGGUUUACUUAUGCACUCGUAUAAAUCGGGAUCAACGACGCCAUGCGAUAAUUUAUGUAUUCAUUUUAUGGGGCUUCUAGUCAUAUAUGUUUUCGUCGUUUGUGUCCUAACCUUUGUAGUUAGUACAAGUACAUAAAAACAUAAACAAAUGCAAAUCAAACUUCAAAAAAAGUAGAACCAAAAGCAAUGCAUGCAUGAUGAGAAUCAAGCGAUUUGAUGGGUAAAGGAGCGUGUCCCUCCUGAGUCGUUCUUUUGAUCUGGUUGAGAGUACACGUUGCUAAUAUAAUCCUAUUUUAUGAGAAAAAUGCUUGUUUUCACAUCCAUCACCCAUGGUUCUGCAAGUACAAGUCCGCACCCAUGGUUCUGCGUGCAUCGUGCACCUCUGCUUUCUUUCUUCAAGGCCGUUCCUGCUUCGUAGUAGGCUGUUCUUCAAGGGCUGCUCUUUUUAUUCGAUUUGCAGUCUUGAGUCACUUGUAAAUCAACGACGCUGCCAGUUGUGCUAAUCCGUAGGCUGUUCUUCAAGGGCUGUCCUUUUUAUUGGGUUUGCAGUCUUGAGUCACUUGUAAAUCAACGACGCUGCCUGUUGUGCUAAUCAAAUUUCGGUCAGUUUAUUCCUUUGCUUCCUAUUUCCACUUGGGAUUUGUUCUGUUCAUGUCCUUUUCUUGUUGACUUUUGAUGCAUAGAGGUCAGCGACGUAUAAAAAUUGAUGUUGUUGGGUGUAGAGGAGCGAUGUGGGACUAUUACUAAGAUAACAUCUUUUUUUUGAGAAUCAGAUAACAAUCUUGUUUAACAACACAAGUGUACCCGAUUUGGCUGUAGUCUUUUACAUGGAGGGCAUGGUCGCAAUGCAGCAGUCGCAGCACGUAGCACAGCCGUCGCCGCCCCCGUGCUCUCCUACGAGCGGCGCCGCCGUCCCUCGCCUUGCUCACGUGGGCUGUAGGGAAUGACCGCCGCGUUGCGCCGACGCUCCCGUCCUCCCCUGGGACCAACGCCUCUAUCCUCGCCUGGGCCCGGCCGUUGACCCUGCUCAAAGCAGAGGCCGCUCGAAGCCGAGCUGCCAGCGCGCCAGAGACCCGCCGCCGACGGUGAGAGGAGGAAAGGAGGGGGUAGGGGAGGGGGAGGAGGAGGAGGGGCGGCAGACUAAUCCACGCGCGAGGGGAGGAGGAGGGGGAGGGGAGGUGGAGGAGGAGCGCCGGAACGCGCCGGAGCGAAGUUGNNNNNNNNNNNNNNNNNNNNNNNNNNNNNNNNNNNNNNNNNNNNNNNNNNNNNNNNNNNNNNNNNNNNNNNNNNNNNNNNNNNNNNNNNNNNNNNNNNNNNNNNNNNNNNNNNNNNNNNNNNNNNNNNNNNNNNNNNNNNNNNNNNNNNNNNNNNNNNNNNNNNNNNNNNNNNNNNNNNNNNNNNNNNNNNNNNNNNNNNNNNNNNNNNNNNNNNNNNNNNNNNNNNNNNNNNNNNNNNNNNNNNNNNNNNNNNNNNNNNNNNNNNNNNNNNNNNNNNNNNNNNNNNNNNNNNNNNNNNNNNNNNNNNNNNNNNNNNNNNNNNNNNNNNNNNNNNNNNNNNNNNNNNNNNNNNNNNNNNNNNNNNNNNNNNNNNNNNNNNNNNNNNNNNNNNNNNNNNNNNNNNNNNNNNNNNNNNNNNNNNNNNNNNNNNNNNNNNNNNNNNNNNNNNNNNNNNNNNNNNNNNNNNNNNNNNNNNNNNNNNNNNNNNNNNNNNNNNNNNNNNNNNNNNNNNNNNNNNNNNNNNNNNNNNNNNNNNNNNNNNNNNNNNNNNNNNNNNNNNNNNNNNNNNNNNNNNNNNNNNNNNNNNNNNNNNNNNNNNNNNNNNNNNNNNNNNNNNNNNNNNNNNNNNNNNNNNNNNNNNNNNNNNNNNNNNNNNNNNNNNNNNNNNNNNNNNNNNNNNNNNNNNNNNNNNNNNNNNNNNNNNNNNNNNNNNNNNNNNNNNNNNNNNNNNNNNNNNNNNNNNNNNNNNNNNNNNNNNNNNNNNNNNNNNNNNNNNNNNNNNNNNNNNNNNNNNNNNNNNNNNNNNNNNNNNNNNNNNNNNNNNNNNNNNNNNNNNNNNNNNNNNNNNNNNNNNNNNNNNNNNNNNNNNNNNNNNNNNNNNNNNNAAUAUAAAACAUAUUCACGAUUUUUAGUAAAUGUUCUCAAUUUUAAAAUUGUUCCCAUAUUUGUAAAAUUGUUCGCGAAAGAUCUAAUGUAUGUAGUUAAACAUUAAUGUUUCUAAAUCUUUGUGACAAUAUACGUGUGUGAAUUUUGAAGAAUUAACUGUUGGAUGGAUCGAAUUAUUAUUGUUUGUUUUCUAAAAAAAUGUCUUGAAAUUCAGAAUAAAUCUUUGAGUUACCAAGAUUUUUGACAACCAUGAUAUAUAUUUUUUGAAAAUGUAAAAAAUGUUUCAACUUAUGAAUAAAUUUUAAAAAAGAAACAUUUUCUUGCAUUUAUGCAUAAAAUUUGUAAAUCAAGCGAUGAUAUUUGAACAUAAUAUGAUCACCAUCAUUGGAGAUUGUGUUUUUUUCUUCCAUGACAACGCACGGACCAUUUUGCUAGUACAAGCUGCACAUAUUCAUAAUAUGUAUAUAGAUGGCUUUUGUCCCAGAUAAUACAAGCUGCACAUAUUCAUAAUAUGGUAACAGAGCUUAGGUUCCUCUUGGAGGCCGCAACUCGUGUUCGAUCUGAUUUUUUUUCGGAUCCAAAUUCAUGCUUCCGCUGCCGACCGACCGACGCUAUUCCUUGCUUCCCACUGCUCCCUUCUUCCCCUGAACGCUGCUGCUCCUCCUCACUGCUGCUGCUCCUUGUGUUUUUUCUGCUGCAAGUCCGUCUAUUCCACUGCCGCAUACCUAAGUUUCAUGUUGUGCAGUUGUCCGUCCAACUGCCUAGGCCGGCUGAUCAACUCCAGCCGCGAUUCUCGCCACCGACCACCAGUUUCUAGACGCCCCGCCGCUGCACUUCUUCCUCUCCUCCUCCGCGGAAACCUAUAUCUGUUGAAAAUAUGCCUUAGACUCAAUAAUAAAAUAGUUAUUAUUAUAUUUUCUGUUUUAAAAUAAUCGUUUAUUAUCCAUGUUAAAAUUAUAUUAAAUAGAAAACGUAAAUACAUGUGUGGAUACAUAGACAAAACAAUGUUCCUAGUCAGCCUCUAGCUGACUAGCUCGUCGAUCAAAGGUGGUUAAGGUUUUUCUAACGAUAGACAAGUAUUGUCACUUGAUAACGCGAUCACAUCAUUAGAAGAACGAUGUGAUGGACAAGACCCAAACUAUAAACUUAGCAUUGGAUCGUGUUAUUUUAUUGGUAUUGUUUUCUGCAUGUCAAGUAUAUAUUCCUAUGAUCAUGAGAUCAUGUAACUCAUUGACAUUGGAGGAAUGUCUUGUAUGUAUCAAACGUCGCAACGUAACUGUGUGACUAUAAAUGUGCUCUACAGGUAUCUCCGAAGGUGUCCGUUGAGUUAGCAUGGAUCAAGACUGGAAUUUGUCACUCCGUAUAACAGAGAGGUAUCUCGGGACCCACUCGAUAAUACAACAUCAUAAACAAGCCUUGCGAGCAAUGUGACUAAAGAGUUAGCCACGCGAUAUUGUAUUACAGAAUGAGUAAAGAGACUUGCCGAUAACGAGAUUAAAAUAGAUAUGAAGAUACAUAGUUCGGUGAAGAUACAUAGAGCGUUGACCGGAGAGUGUCUCGAUCAUGUCUACAUAGUUCUCAAACCCGCAGGUUCUGCACACUUAAGGUUCGGUGAUGUUGCGGUAUAGUUGAAUUAUUGAUGUUGUUAACCGAAGGUUGUUCGGAGUCCCGGAUGAGAUCCAGGAAGUCACGAGGGUUUCCGGAAUGGCCUAGAGAUGAAGAUUGAUAUAUAGGAAGUAUCCAUUUGGCUUCCGGAAGGUUUUUAGGCAUUACCGACAAAGUAUCAGGAGUGACGAAUGGGUUCUGUAGUUCUACCGGGAGAUGCCAUCCGUUCAACGCUAGAUCGGGACGGAGUUCGUGGGACAACUUGCGAUUUGAAUCGCGGAGACUUUCGACUACAUCAACCGCGUUUCUUAACGCUUUCCAGUUGGCGAUCUACAAGGGUAUGUGGAUCCAAUUUCCCCUAUCGUAGAUGAUCAUCACCAUGGAUAGGUCUUUCGUGUGCGUAGGAAAGUUUUUCUUUCCCAUGCAACGUUUCCCAACAGUGGCAUCAUGAUCUAGGUUAAUGCGUAGAUGAUAUCUUGAGUAGAACACAAAAGAGUUUAUGGGCAUUGAUGUUAAAUUUGUUGUCCUCCUUAAUCUUUUCUUGAUUCGGCGGUAUUGUUGGAUUGAAGCGGCCCAGACCAACAUUACUCGCACGCUUACGAGAGACUGGUUUCAUCGACUAACAUGCAACUUGUUGCAUAAAGAUGACUGGCGGGUGUGUGUUUCUUCAACUUUAGUUGAAUCAGAUUUGACCGAGGCGGUCCUUGGAGAAGGUUAAAUAGCAAUUUGCAUAUCACCGUUGCGGCUUUGCGUAAGUAAGAUGCGAUCAUACUAGAUACCCAUAACAGCCACGUAAAAUUUGCAACAACAAAUUAGAGGACGUCUAACUUGUUCUUGCAGGGUAUGCAUGUGAUGUGAUAUGGCCACACACAUGCUGUGAUAUAUUGGAUGUAUGAAAUGAUCAUGUUGUAAUAGUUAAAUAUCGACUUGCACGUCGAUGCUACGGCAACCGGCAGGAGCCAUAGGGUUAUCUUUAAUUAUUUUGCGCUUGGUGAUGCUUUGCUUUAUCGCUAUAUCAUGUCACUUAUGAUUUGCAUGUGAUGUUAAUCCUUUUAUGCACCUUGUUUUGCUUAGGACGACGGUAACAUUAUAAGGUAAUCCCUCACUAAAAUUUCAAGAUAAAAUUGUGUUCUCCCCGACUGUGCACCGUUGUGACAGUUCGUCGUUUCGAGACACCACAUGAUGAUCGGGUGUGAUGGACUCAACAUUCAUAUAAAACGGGUGCAAAACAGUUGCACAGGCGGAACACUCGGGUUAAACUUGACGAGCCUAGCAUGUACAAACAUGGCCUCGGAACACAGGAGACCGAAAGGUCGAGCAUGAGUCAUAUAGUGGAUAUGACCAACAUGGAGAUGUUCACCAUUGAAGCUAAACUCAACUAACGUGAUGAUAGGACUUGAGUUAGUGAAUUUGGGUCAUGUGACACUCGAAUGACUAGAGGAAUGUCAAUUUGAGUGAGAGUUUAUUAGUAAUAUGAUUAGCUAAACUCAAUUAUCUUGAACAUAGUAUAAGUAAUCUUUGCAAAAUUUUAUGUUGUAGAUCAAUGGCUUGCGCAGUAGCAACCCUGAAUUUCAAUGCGUUCCUAGAGAAAGCUAAGCUGAAAAAUGAUGGAAGCAACUUUGUUGACUAGGCUCGUAAUAUGAGGGUUAUCCUCACGGCUGCCCAAAAGCAAUAUGUUCUUGAUGCACCGUUGGGUGAUGCACCCCCCGAAACGGCGUUGCCAGAAGUUAUUAACGUCUGGCAGACGCGCAAGGAUGACUACUCAUUAGUUCAAUGUGUAAUUUUCUAUGGCUUAGAACCGGGACUUCAAAGACGUUUUGAACGUCAUGGACCAUAUGAGAUGUUUCAGGAGUUGAAGUUUAUCUUUGAGAAGAAUGCUCGGAUCGAGAGGUAUGAGACCUCCAAUAAAUUCUAUGCUUGCAAAAUGGAGGAGAAUAGGUUUGUGAGUGAACAUGUGCUCAGAAUGUCUGGUACUCUAACCGUCUGGCUGAGCUGGGAAUUGCUCUCCCACCAGAGGCUAUCACUGCGAGAGUUCUUCAAUCACUGGCACCUAGCUACAAAGGCUUUGUGUUGAACUAUAAUAUGCAAGGGAUGAAUAAGUCACUCGCCGAGCUGUUUGCGAUGCUGAAAGUCGCAGAGUCAGAAAUCCAGAAACAACAUCAAGUGUUGAUGGUCAAUAAGACCAACAGUUUCAAGAAAAAUGGCAAGGUAAAGAAGAGUGGCAACGCUGUUGCCCCUCCGACAAAGAAACCCAAGUCUCGACCCAAGCCGGAGACUGAGUGUUAUCAUUGCAAGGGGACUGGGCAUUGGAAGCGGAACUACCCCAAGUAUCUGGUCGAUAAGAAGGUGGCCAAUGCCAAACAAGGUAUAUUUGAUAUACAUGUUAUUUAUGUGUAACUCACGAGCUCUCAUAGUAGUGCCUGGGUAUUUGAUACUGGUUCUAUUGCUCACAUUUGCAACUCGAAACAGGAACUGGGGAAUAAACGAAGGCUGGCAAAGGAUGAAGUGACGAUGCGCGUGGGAAAUGGUUCCAAGGUUGAUGCGAUCGCUGUCGGCAUGAUCUCACUUCACUUACCAUCGGGAUUAGUAAACCUGAAUAAAUGUUAUUUAAUGUGUGCGUUAAGCAUGAACAUUAUAUCUGGAUCUUGUUUAUUGUGAGACGGUUACUCAUUUAAGUCAUAGAAUAAUGGUUGUUCUAUUUAUAUGAGUAACAUCUUUUAUGGUCAUGCACCCACUGUGAGGGGUUUGUUCCUGUUGGAUCUCGAUAGUGAUGAAACUCAUAUACAUAACACUGAGACCAAAAGAUGCAGAGUUAAUAAUGAUAGCGCCACUUUCUUGUGGCAUUGCCGCUUGCUACUUCUUGAGCUUGCGUUGGUUUUCCCUUGAAGAGGAAAGGGUGAUGCAGCAAACUAGAUAAGUAUUUCCUUAGUUUGUUGAGAACCAAGGUAUCAAUCCAGUAGGAGGAACAAUUAAACACUUGCACCCAACGCUAAAAAGGGGUUGUCACCCUUCACGGUUAUUUGCAAGGAUGAGAUUUGAUAGAGAUAGGUAUAAAUAUUGCUAGAACUAAAAGUAUAUAAAUGGCAGCAAUAUAUUUUUGGUAUUUUUGGUUUAUAGAUAUAAAAGUAUAAUAUGUAAAACAGACCCCGGGGCCAUAGGUUUCACUAAAGGCUUCUCUCAUGAAGGAAAUUAAUACGGUGGGUGAAUAAAUUACUGUCGUGCAAUUGAUAAAAAAGCGAAUAAUUAUAAAGAUAUCCAAGGCAAUGAUUAUGCAUAUAGGCAUCACGUCCGUGUCAAGUAGACCGAAACGAUUCUUCAUCUACUACUAUUACACCACACAUUGAUCGACUCCUGCCUGCAUCUAGAGUAUUAAGUUCAUAAAGAACAGAGUAACACAUUAGGUAAGAUGACAUUAUGUAGAGGGAUAUACUCAAGCAAUAUGAUGAAAACCCCAUCUUUUUAUCCUCGAUGGCAACAAUGCAAUACGUGCCUCGCUACCCCUACUUUGUCACUGGGUGAGGACACCGCAAGAUUGAAUCCAAAACUAAGCACUUCUCCCAUUGUAAGAAUUACCAAUCUAGUUGGCCAAACCAAACCAAUAACUCGAAGAGACUUGCUAAGAUAUGAAAUCAUGCAUAUAAGAAUUCAGAAAAGAUUCAAAUAAUAUUCAUAGAUAAUCUGAACAUAAACCCAUAAUUCAUCGGAUCUCGACAAACACACCGCAAAAGAGUAUUACAUCGGAUAGAUCUCCAUGAAGAUCAUGAAGAACAUGGUUUUGAAGAACAAAGAGAGAGAAGAAGCCAUCUAGCUUCUAGUUAUGGGCCCGUAGGUCUGUGGUGAACUACUCACGCAUCAUCAGUGAGGCAAUGGAGUUGGUGUAGAUGCUCUUCGUGAUCGAUUCCUCCUCUGAGAGAUUAUCGGAUAAGGCUCCCAGAUUGGAUCUCACGGGAACAGAGGCUCCCAGCGGCGGAAAAGUAUUUUUUUUGGUGUCGUUCUGGUAUUGGGGGAAUAUUUGGGAAUUUAUAGGAUGAAGAUUAGGGUUAGGAGGCCUGAAGGGGCCCACAAGCUAGGGGCGCCCCCCUAGGGCAUGCCCUACGGGCUUGUCAUCUCCGGCAAGUCUCCUGCCCCUAAUUCAACAUAAUACACGGGUACAUGCUGAUGGUGUUGGUCCCAAAUGGGCAGACUAUGGGUCUACCACGGGGAAACUCGUGGUUUUGUUUUACUCAUAGAAUUUCCCAUCCGGUCAUAUCCUGAGACGAGAUAUGCGACUUCUAUCGGAUUUGUCGACACGUCGAGCGGUCUUACUCGAUCUGUUUUACCCUUCUAGAAUGUCUUGUGCACCAGGAUUACGAGGAUACUUUGGGCUAUCUCGAGGUUGAAGUUUUCCAUGCACUUUGUGGCUAGUUUGUGAUUGAUGAGUUGGAGCAUCCCUGUAGGGUUAAAUAUUUCUCAAAGUCGUGUCCGCGGUUAUGUGGCAACUUGAAAAUUGUUUAACACCCGGUUAUAGCAAACUUGAAGUAAACACAACUAAAAUACACCAACCGUGUGUGUAACCGUGGUCGUCUAUUUUUGAGGGAGUUCAGAAAAAGAACAUGGUGGGGUUAUGAUUGACUCGUAAGUAGGUGUUCAGGAUCACUUCUUGAUCAUUAGUAGUUCACGUCCAUUUAUGCAUAGAUCACUCUUCUUAUUCUUGUACUCGUAAGUUAGCUACAUAUUCAAAUGCUUAGUGCUUGCUGCAGCCUCACCACUUAAUCAUAACUCACCCAUUAAGCUUUGCUAGUAUUGAUACCUUUGGAAAUGAGAUGGUAGAGUCCUCAUGGCUCACAGAUUACUACCAUAACAGUUGCAGGUACAUGUAAUACGAUGUUUUGACGUUAGCAUGAUUAUUGUUCUAUUUGGAAUGUCUUCUUCUUCUUUGGUCAUAGGACGGGUUCCUGGCUGGUAGCCUGGGAUUAGCAAGGAUGGAUGCCACUUUUAUCAUUUGAUUUCAUUCGUAGUCGGAUCCUACUUUUAUGUAUGAUGACUGGUGUGGAUGUUUGUAUUGACAUGAUUAUGAUUUAGCUUGUGGCGAGUGUAAGUCAAUUCCAUAUACUCAUCUCCUCUUUACAUGUACUUGUAACGAUAUCCAUUCUUACGAAACGACGAGAUGCACUUAUAUCCCUAUCAGGGCCCUCGAGCCCAGAUGAGGAUAGUACUGCAUAUUCGGUGUUACAAGUGACACAUGCGUUGUCUGUUGUCAUUGGUGUGCCUUUGCCUCACUGCCCAUUAACUGUUGACAGUAUGCCCUAUGUGGAUCUUGCUUCACAUUUAUAUCGUCCUUUGGUGCUUGGUGCUCGACCGGAUGAGGUGUUUUUCACUCGUUGUGUUGGUCGUUCUUCAACGGCUCCUCUUGCAGCUUCGCUAUGCGGUAGUGACCACUCUACGUCGACCUCUCUCACGGCUUCCACUGGUGGUGGCGACUGCUCAUCAUCGACACAUGUUUCUACCCUGACAUCUUCCAUGUGUCCCUGUUUGCACGUGAGAUUGCGCAGCUGUGAUGCAUGGUUGAUGCUUGGGAUUCUUCACCGACGGCUUUCACAGGUUCUGUGACUGAUCUUCUCACAAUGAUAAACCUUCUUCUACACAUUCAGACACAACCCAUGGCUUGUUGAUAGUGGAGCAUAUUUUCAUAUAUCUUAUGAUUCUUCCACUUUGACCUCCGUUUGACCUGUCGAAUCUCUCGUUUGUGUUCUUACGGCUGAUGGCACUCCCCUCCGUGUAGCUAGUCGAGGCACUCUUAGCACAUCUUCAUUUCAUGUUCCCUCUGUAGCUCAUGUUCCUCAACUUACCGUGCAACUCAUAUCUGGUGGUCAGAUUGUUAACUCUAGUUGUAGUGUCAUUCUUGACUUUGAUUCAUGUUCUGAUCAGGAUCACCGCACGGGCGCUCUGCUUGGUGUUGGCCCUCAACGUUGUGAUGGACUCUCGGAGUUUGACUGGCUUCAUCUUUCCCCCGCUGCCACCGUUGCUAGUCUCACAGCCUCGUUUCUGCAUCUACCAGCUCUUUUCAGCAGUGGCCUCAUCGUCUUGGUCAUUUAUGUGGUUCUCGUCUUUCGUAUUUGGUUCACCAUGGUGUUUUGGGGUCUAUUUGUGGUAACACUUCAUUGGAUUGUCUUGGUUGUAGGCUUGGAAAGUAGAUUCAGCCACCCUAUCCUCACAGUGAGUCAGUGUCCAGGCGCCCUAUUGACCUUGUUCACUUUCAUGUUUGGGGUCCGGCUCCCUUCACUUCGAAAGGGGGGUUAUUGCUACUAUAUUAUCUUUAACAUAGCCUUCUGAAAUAAAAACUAUAACAUAGCAACAAUCCGACAGGGUCACAACACAACAAGACCCAUCCAUAAAUGAAAAUAGGAUCGUGCUACGUGUCUGCCAAUCGAUCUUUUCCAAAGAUCGUUCGGGCCACGAGUGGUUCAAUCAUAAUACCCUUCUUGCAAACCUUCAUUGCAACAAGACCUUUGUUAUCUCCAACUUGCGGUCGUGCCCAUCAGCAUUGCAAGUUUCAAUGCUAGAGCCCCCUACAGGUUAUGUAUUAUGCCCAUCCACCCACUAGAAAUAAUGGGUCACAUUGGCCAUGAGAUGUUGGACUACUGAAGCCCAAUUACUGUCCAACACUCCCCUCCAAGAUGAGUGAUGGAUAUCUAUCAUUCACUUCUUGACACGAGCUCACUUACAAUCCUUAACAACCAUACCCGUUUUUUAUUGACAUAGUUGACCUUGAUGAUUCUAGCAUACAAUUUCUUAUUUACAGAGAAUUUUUGAUCUCAACGCGCUUUGUCCUAUCAUGUUGGACCAGACUAUUGCUACGCAAAUUACUGACUUCGUUAUCACACCAUACGUUCAAGUGUCCUUCCUUUAACACCUUCAACUCACUCAAAAGGUUUCUCACCCAUAGCAUCCCACUUAAUCCUUAAUAAAUGGCUUUAUACUUUGCUUUAGUAGUUGACCUUGUUACUAUUGUUUUUUUUUCUUCUCCGCGAUACCAAGUUCCCUCCAACAAUGCAUAAUAACAUGAAGUUGACCUUCUAUCAUCUAAACAACUUGCCGAGUCAGCAUCACUAUAACCGUCAACUAUUAGAUGUCCAUUUGCUUUAAACCAUAACCCUUUUUGUGGAGUUUUUUUAAACAUCUUUGGAUUCAAAAUACCAUCCAUAUAUAUACUUCUUGGUGCAUGCAUGUAUAUGCUCACUAUGCUAACUCUAUACGCAAUAUUUUCUCUUGUGUGACACAAGUAUAACGGUUGUCCCAUCGGUCUCUCAUAUCUUCCUUGUCUACAAGUUUGCCACACCGAGCUCUUAUUUUGUGAUAAUGAUCAAUGGGUGUUGGAGCUGCAUGGCACUCGAUCAUCCUCAUAUCACUGAGUAGGUCUUAGUUAUACUUUAUUGGAAUUUCCAAGAAAGUAUCCAAGUUGACCAAGUUUUUUUUAACUUCAAACACUUUUCUUAAACAACUCUUCACCCUUGUUGUUUCUGAUGGAUCAUCUCUGUGAUUUUGGUACCGUCCACAUAGACUGAUUGUGAUCUUCUGACUUGAGUGUCUAUAGGAUACAGUGUGGUCUCGACUACACUCGCCAUAUCCCAAUUCAAACACAACUCUUCUAAGAGCAUCUACAGCCGAACCCCUCAUGCCCCCCUCAAAUGUCCGGGUUGACUGCCCAGUUACUAACCGGUCACAAAAAAUACACCGAGCCGACACCCUCAAACCAGCCUCAAACGUCCGGACUGACCGACACCCCUCAUAUCCAGCCCAAAUAUUGGGUGGCCCGGGCACGCCCGCGUGACACGCCCGGCCCACCAACGAGCCCACGGUUAUCCCACAAAAACCCAUCCGACUCAUCGCUCUGAAACCCUAGCUCACUCACUCUCCUCUCUUGCUCCGUCCUCUCCUCUCCCCGCACCAAUUCCGAUCGAAUCCGGCACAACAUCGAGCUCCAGCAGCUGCUUCGACCAUGAUCUGAUCCGGACUAUGAGCUUUCCUUUCACAUUGCCUUGGAGCAGUCCAAGGUGGAGACCGGGAGGUAGCUCCAGAUCAUGUAGCCUCGCCGCUUCCCCGUCGGUGCAGCUCGGACGCCGGCGCUGGCCCCUCCCAGCAUGUGCGUAGCUCUGACACGCGGCCUGCGCAAUCCAUGCCUUCCCUACGUCGUCCCCUGCCUGCACCCCCAUAUGGGCAGCGGUGGGUGCUUGUGCCCGGCCCGCCGGUUCGUACGCGCAGGCCGAAAUCAAAGGCGUGUGUCGCCCACCAUGAGCAACAUCGACAAGGGGAGAGGAGGGAGGCGGAGCAGUCCGUGCGCCAUCGCUGCAGGAUGAAGAGGGAGCCCGACGAGGACACGCAGCUCCUCGAAUGGGUGUACCGCCAGUCGCUUACGACUGCGAGGACGAACGAGUGGCGGCUCCGCCGAAAGAAUGCCAAGGCGCUCUGGAUUGCCAUUGAGCAGUCCGAGUGCGAGGCGGCGGAGGAGGCUCGGCUCGCGAAGCUCAAGUGACAGCAGGAGAGGGAGGUCCGAUGGCUAAAAGGGCUUGUCAUCCUUUGUGACGAUGAUGAUGACGACCACGGCUCCUCAUCGGACGAUUCAAACGAUCCCCACCAGCCAUCGACUCCUACAGCUGCGCCGGCGACCCGAAGGGCAAAGGGCCGUCAAGGAAGUGGUGAAUGUCCGUGUCUUCAUUUUCAAAUUUUUAGUAAUCUAAUUUAAAUUUAUCCAUCGUUUAUGUGAAUUAUGUGAACUAUGGCGAUCUUUUGGAUAUCCAGCUAUGAUCUUUUGGUGAUCGAGAUGUGCAUUCCUUUGUCCGAUUCUGUGUUUGUGGGUUGAUCUAUGUUCUUUUUAUCUAUGUUGCAUGCUAGUAUGGAUAUGAGGGACUUGAUAUGAGAUACAUGGAUAUGGACGUCAGGAUUUGAGGAGUGGCAGUUAGUGCCCGCAAACAUGUCCGGACGUGUCCACGGGCAUUUGAGUGUCCGGAUUUGUAAGUUCUGACUGUAGUGCUCUAAAUUGAUCAAACCAAGCUUUAGGGGACUGUUUUAAGCCCCAUGGCCAAACUAUUUGUUUCAUCAAAUGCCUUAAUCAUUGUCAGUCUUUCGGUGUAACCAAGGAGUAAAAUAACCUUGCUUGUUGCAACUGAGCUGACCAUUCCACAGAAAGAAACGAGUGAUCGCAUCUCAUGUCUUCCGUCUUAAUUAAACUAACAACUCUUUUGUUCCUUUCAUUGCUGACAUACAGCUGGAAGCACCAACUGUCAACUCGGCGAUGGCCCUGAUAAUUGACACCAGGAGACCCCCGUUGCAGACUGAGCCGAUACAUGGAAACAUAUAGUCUUGACUAUUCGCUCCAAAGAACUCAUUCAUUCAUAUGCUGAGUAAUAAGAGUUGGCCGAAUCCCCUUUUGGUUUUAACGAAUCGGUCCGACUAGCAACCUGACGCAGACAAUUCAGAUAAUUAGAACUCUACUAGAAGUGGCCCAAUCAUGCAGGCUAGAUCAUUCAGUCUGCUAGAUUUUUCUGAUAGUUAGGAGUGCUCCGGAGUACUACAUACUCCUAGAUGUGAGAUCAGGUCCCACCAGGCGCAUGCUUGAAGCAUAGGUAUUACAGUAGAUAGGUAGGUGACACUAGAUCCUAUCCUGCUGCUUGGCUGCAUUAUUUGGAAAGCAAACUCACCCACUAGAACGGCACAAAAAAGAUGAUAGGUUAAAGUGAGCAUGCCAAACCUGCUGCUUGACCAUCUAGAACUAGUCUUGUUUCCUGUAGCCGAAAAUGAGACCCGUCUAGUGGUUUACACGAGACGUAAUUGCACGAUGGCGAGAAGAUGGUUCGGCUUCGUAUCAUCUACGUCGUCGGCGGCUUUAUUGUUUGAUGCGAUGUUAUGUUCCACGAGAUCAAGCAAACGCACUUGACAUUGGUCGGAAAGCGAGAUGGUUUCUCCGUCUAUGCGCUCCGCCUCUGCCUGCGUCGCCUCAAGCCAAGGAAAGACCAAACCGAGGCACGAUCAGGUUGGAACGCACCUACGUGCACCUGUUUUCUUAACAUUUUUCCUAAUACAAAUUUGCAGAUGGCGAUCAAAGUUGUUGCUGUUGCUUUGCCAGCUAGUCAGGCAUCUGUACAUUGUUUCUGGCAUCCGGAAAGCACAGGGAAUGGCAUGACAAAUGCACGCACCUACAUCAAAAGCUUAAGGUUUUUUUUUUUUUUGCUUGCAUGUAAUCGAAAGAUUAAGUUGAUGGGAAAAGAUUCAGUCCAGCCACGCUUCCAACUCUUCGUUUAGCGUCAGAUUUAGUCAAAACUAGGCCCAACGACACAUGCCAAACCCAGCCUCCCUCAGGGGGGGGGNNNNNNNNNNNNNNNNNNNNCCCCCCCCCGCGGGGGGGGGGGGGCUUGGGGGCGUCCGACGCUAUUUUUGCACGCACAAACCCCACCGGUCAGCCUCUCUUUUUUUUUCUUUUUUUUGGUAGUCCCAUCAUGUGCAUGCAAAAAAAAGAAUCUCUCAUCUCUCUCUCUUUCUCUCCGCGUGUGUCCGGCUGGGGUGAGGGAUGGCUGGAUUUUUUUCCCAGUGCAAAAAUUCUGUCGGGGCAACCCGAGGAGGCUGAUAAAAUGCCUCCUAAGGGCACAACGGCUGGAGAUGAUCUUAUUCCCAUCUCAAAUGUCUCGUCAGGUCGUCCGGUCACUGAUCAGUUAUGAAACUUCAACUCAAUCAGAUGUCUCAAACGGGCCUCAAACGAACAGNNNNNNNNNNNNNNNNNNNNNNNNNNNNNNNNNNNNNNNNNNNNCAUUCCUCAUAUUCAGUCCAAAUAUGGAGCGAAUAUGGAGAGUCGAGCAUACCUGCCACGUCGAUCCAGCCCGCGUUGGCCCGCAUCGACCCCACAUAUAUUCAUUUUCAUCUGCUCGCCGGACCAAACGCUAACCAUUUCACUCCAUUCCCCUCCACUCUCAUCCGCCACACAAGUUCACCUCCGGCGAUUUCCGGCCUUCUUGGCAUGCUAGGCAAUAGAUCCGAGUCUUUCAUCUCAAGAUUCGUCGAUUAUGAGCUCAUCCCAUGCAGCCCCGAGGAGGAGAUGAUCGGCUGACUUACGCUCCACGACACCUGGGAGGCGGCCGAACUUCGAUAGCACUCCGACUCGCAGCGUCGGAAUUCAUUGCGCCGACACAAUCGGUGCUUGGAUCCGUCGUCGCUGCUUCACCGGAUGCGGUGCGGUCCAUCUGGCGUUCGAAUGUCGUGGCGGACACGCAACCCCUCUGAUGGUGCAUCGAAAACGCACCACAGGCGUCCUCGGACGCUAACAUGUCACGGCGUGCCCGCCGUGCGAGGCAGCGGGCACGGGGGGCGGGGGAGGCCCUCACGGCGAUGGACGUUGGAGAGGUGAACUCACACUCUCAGGUGCCCCGUAUAAUGCACGGGUACGGGCGCCACAGCCGCGUCAUGGUGGAUAUCCUCUCCUUUCGGAAAGGAUUCGUCAUCGACAUGACGUCCACCGACAUCAUACAGGUUACGGACCCCGACGAGGAAGAGUAGGGCAUGGGAUACGGCGGGAGCUUCACUCCCCGUGAGCCGGUAAAUGUUCCAUGUCCUAUUCUAUCUUGCCGGCGACCGGACCAACACUACGAGGAACGCAACCGGCCGUUAGACAUGGUCACGGUGGAGCUGAACGAGCUUCGCUUGUAUUAUUUACGUUGCAUGUAAUAAUACAAAUUUAAGGUUUUUAAUUUAAGAUAUCCAAUCGUAAAAUGCAUUAUUAAAAAUGUGCUCGGUCAGUGUCAUGCGAUUUGAGGAGUCGAAUUUACCAAGUCCGAGUGUGAAUGUUCUUAGUUUCGCGAAAUAAGCGGGUCAGUGCUUGCAUCCAAUGCAACCGAACUAAAAUAGCAAUGCCAUCACAUGCGUGUCUUGAACCAACAUCUCUCUUGCUCAUUCCAUUACUGACAACAUACAGCUGGAAGCACAAGCACUACAAAACACUCAGCGAGGGCCCAACGACGCCCGUUGCACACCGCUGCAACACAUGGAAACGGAUAUUAGCCUCAACUAUAGCCAUGAUUCUACUCAUUCAUUUUUAACCAUGAAACGGUGCAACCAUCUAAAAUAAAUCGAUGCAAACUGACGCGGACAGUUCAGAUGAACACAGCACACCACCGAUGAGUGACCGAGCAGUUGCCCAAUCAAUCAUGCACGCCGACUACUCCUCUGUUUCUAAAUAUAAGUCUUUGUAGAAAUUUCAUUAUAGACUACAUAUAAAAUAAAAUAUGUAAAUUUAUAAUUUAAAAUAUGUUUAUACAUCGUAGUGAAAUCUCUAUAAAUCUCUAAAAAACUUAUAUUUAGAAAGUAGAUUCAGCGGUUGUACCUCGGAAGGAAAUGCUCUGCAUGGAUGUCGGAUCCGAUCACAAGAUGCAUGACAGGCGGCUGGUGCCAUGUCUGCAUAGCACUAGUUCUUAUCCAGAAUGGCAGAAUCUGUGUGCGAAAACCGCUGCUUGGUUGCGCUAUUUUAGAAAUUAAUUAAGCAACUCGUCCACUAGGACGGCCGUUGAUCCAUGGCUAUCUCCACCAGGAACUUGUACGUAGUAGAUAGUCAGACAAUUUGCAGUCAGCGUCUUGGAAACCAAUGAGAUGGGAGGGAAAAACUGGUAUUAAUGGCCAUCUAGAGGCAAAAUGUCCUGGUUUCUCAUGCAACCUUUCAUGAACGCUUUACCAUACGUCGUUAUCAAAUUUAUAUUAUCCGAUGCAAAGUACCCCCAAAAAGUAACAGUAUAUACGGGAGUGCCAUGAAUCUGUGCAAGCGCAUACCCUAUUCACUUUUGUUUGAAAGUGAAAUGUGUUUCCUUACGUUUAUACUCCCUCCGUCCUAAAAUUAUUGUGUUAUGUUUGUCUAAAAAUAGAUGUAUCUAAAUACUAAAGCAUGACUAGAUACAUUCGUAUCUAGACAAAUUUAAGACAAGAAUUUUAGAACGGAGGGAGUAUUAUAUUUACACCGUGCGUUGCCACUUGAAGGCAGGGAGAGGCCAAGGGCACGACUGAUUUGUUGGAAGUACACCUGGUCGCUCGAUUGCUUCUUGGGCGGCGUUUCCUCUAGAACUUUGUUAGAUGAUGAUGGAGGCCACCGGAGGAUCUUAAAACUAACGAUUCUGUCGCUGUUGGAUAUAAAAGGCACCAACUUUUGCCAGACGGGCAGGCAUCUGCAGAUUGUUUCUGACGGAAGGCAUGGCUGGAUCGUGUGUACUUUCGGCGCCGUCUAAUUUCUCUUCCUUUUCGCCGGAAAGUGCUGUGUUAAGUAAGCUGAAAGAAGUUUCCGGCAAGAAGAAAAAAGUAUCCUCGAAGAAAUAGGGAAUGAGAGCAUCUAACUUGCAAAUUUGACCCCUCAAACAUUCAUGAGUCCGGACGCGUGCGUAUACACUAACUGAUGAUGGCUUAAAUUUGCUCGUCUACAUUUAGAUAUCUCGUAUGAUAACCUUAGGCCAAUUUUAACCCGCGACCUCGAAUGAUCGGGCCGCGUCCAUUUGCGAAUAAACGGACACAAAACACAGACCAACGUGCGGGAGCAAUUUUGACUCAUUUUCGAUCCAAAUUUUUGUCGUGUUUGCAUCAAAACGGCAACGCUCGGACGGGUGGAACGCGCACCCUUGUCCUCCACUGACCCGCCCGUCAGGGACACGCCCACCCACUUUCCCUCCCUUUCCCCCAAACCCUUCCGCGCUCAUUCUUCCCCUCCCUCCUCCAUGGCCCCGAAGAAACCCGUAGACCCGGACGCCACCGCGCGCCCUCCGGUGAAGAAGGAGGGCCCAAAGAAGCCGCUAUUGGAGCUCAUGCCGGAGGAACAAGUGCACCUCGAGCGUGAAUCGGCCAAGGGGAGGGCACAGUGGACCACUGCGGCAGAGAAGAAAGCCGACGACGACUACACCGCCAAUUCGCGACCUUGCAGCAGGCCGCGCAAUACAAGGCCGUCGUCGACAAGAACGAGGCCAUCCUCGCUAAGGCCCAAGGCCAUACAGGUAACAGCGACGCAAGCCCUCGUCAUGAUGUGGUUGGUUCAACCUGGGUCGACCAUUAUCUCCGCUGCUGCCAUGGCGGCGGCGAGCACAAGCUCAUCGGUUGUUCGCCCUCCGCAGUACUAGUCGCCGACCUCCUCCAUAACCCUGUAGAUGCCUGGGUUCUCCACGUCACGACUGCGUGGCCAGACCCGCUUCUCCACGUCACCGGACGGUAGCGUGAUCGCGCCGGCCACACUUGUCAUCCCGCCCGUCAUUGACCUCAACGUCACGCCUUUAGCUGGCUAGUCAUAGGAUUAGAAGCGAUGGUUGGCCCGGAUUCUGACAAAUGGCCGAAGGCCAUGAAAUCCGAGAGGAGGAUCCAUGUAUGAAAACAAAGUGUAGACUUUGGAAGAACUACUUGAUGGUCGUAAGACUAUUAAAUACAAAUGGAACUUUAAAAGGAAGACAAACGAUGAUGGUGAAAAAUCACCAUUAAGAAAGCUCGACUUGUCGCAAAGAUGUUUCCGACAAAGUUCAAAGAGUUGACUACGAUGAGAUUUUUUCACUCGUAGCGAUGCUGAAAGUAUGUUGGAAUUAUGUUAGCACUUGCUGCAUCAUUUAUGAAAUCUUGAAGAUAAGAUGUUAAAAUAUUGUUCCAUCGACGGUUUUCUUGAGGAAAUAUUGUAUGUGAUACAACCAGAAGAUUUUGUCGAUCCUAAAUGAUGCUAACUGUUGGAAAUAUGCCCUAGAGGCAAUAAUAAAAUGGUUAUUAUCAUAUUUCCUUGUUCAUGAUAAUCGUCUAUUGUUCAUGCUAUAAUUGUAUUAACAGGAAACAGUAAUACAUGUGUGAAUAAAUAGAUCACAAUGUGUCCCUAGCAAGCCUCUAGUUGGCUAGCGCGUUAGUCAAUAGAUGAUCAUGGUUUCCUGGUCAUGGGCAUUAGAUGUCAUUGAUAAUGGGAUCACAUCAUUGGGAGAAUGAUGUGAUGGACAAGACCCAAUCCUAAGCAUAGCACUAGAUCGUAUUGUUCGUAUGCUAAAGCUUUUCUAAUUUCAAGUGUCUUUUCCUUCGACCGUGAGAUUGUGCAACUCCCGGAUACCGUAGGAGUGCUUUGGGUGUAUCAAACGUCACAACGUAACUGGAUGACUAUAAAGGUGCACUACAGGUAUCUCUGAAAGUGUCUGUUGGGUUGGUACGAAUCGAGAUCGGGAUUUGUCACUCCGCGUGAUGGAGAGGUAUCUCUGGGCCCACUCGGUGGAACAUCAUCAUGAGCUCAAUGUGACUAAGGAGUUAGUCACACGAUGACAUGCUACGGAACGAGUAAAGAGACUUACCGGUAACGAGAUUGAACAAGGUAUAUGUGUACCGACGAUCGAAUCUCGGGCAAGUUCUAUACCGACAGACAAAGGGAAUUGUAUACGGGAUUGAUUGAAUCCUUGACAUCGUCGUUCAUCCGAUGAGAUCAUCAUGGAGAAAGUGGGAGCCACCAUGGGUAUCCAGAUCCCGCUAAUGGUUAUUGGCCGGAGAGGUGUCUCGGUCAUGUCUGCCUGUCUCCCGAACCCGUAGGGUCUACACACUUAAGGUUCGAUGAUGCUAGGGUUAUAGGGAAUUGUUAUACGAGGUUACGGAAAGUUGUUCGGAGUCCCGGAUGAGACCCCGGACGUCACGAGGAGCUCCGGAAUGGUCCGGAGGUAAAGAUUGAUAUAUAGGAUGGAUGGUUUUGGACACCGGAAAUGUUUCGGACGUACCGGUAGUGCACCGGGACCAUCGGGACCACCGGAAGUGGUCCCGGGGGUCCACCGGGAGGGGCCAGCAGCCCCAAGAGGUAGCAUGGGCCAAAAGAGGGAGGUAAACCAGCCCAAAGUGGGCUGGUGCGCCUCCCACAAGGAGGCCCAAGGCGCAGGAGGUGGAGAGGGGGGGGGAAACCCUAGGCGCUGGUGGGCCUAAGGCCCACCUAGGGGUGCGCCACCCCCUCCCCCUGCCCUGGCCGCCACACCUCCCAUCUGGGGGGGGGGCGCUGCCGCACCACCUAGGGUGGGAACCCUAGGGGUGGCACCCCCCUCCCCUCCUCCUAUAUAUAGUGGGGGUUUCGGGGCUGUUUUACACACAGUUUUCCCUCUCCCUCGGCGCAGCCCUGCCCCCCUUCUUCCUCCUCUCCCACGAUGCUUGGCGAAGCCCUGCCGGGAGACCUCGUCUCUCCAUCGACACCACGCCGUCGUGCUGCCGGAGAUCUUCCCCAACCUCUCCCUCCUCCUUGCUGGAUCAAGGUGCAGGAGACGUCACCGGGCUGCACGUGUGUUGAACGCGGAGGUGCCGUGGUUCGACACUAGAUCGGAAUCACACCGCGAUCUGAAUCGCCGCGAGUACGACUCCAUCAACCGCGUUCUAGCAACGCUUCCGCUUAGCGAUCUUCAAAGGUAUGAAGAUGCACUCACCCUCUCUCAUUGCUGGUCUCUCCAUAGGAAGAUAUGAAUAUGCGUAGGAUUUUUUUUGAAUUUAUGCUACGUUACCCAUCACUAACAUGCAAGUAUGCAAAGCUCCAGUGAUCCUUCUAUGGACUGGAGCAAACAUCUCGGAGUUGGAAUAUACGCUUUGAUGAGAUGAUCAAAGAUUUUAAUUUUAUACAAAGUUUAUGAGAAACUUGUAUUUCCAAAGAAGUGAGUGGGAGCACUAUAGAAUUUCUGAUAAAUAUAUGUGGUUGACAUAUUGUUGAUCGGAGAUGAUGUAGAACUUCUGGAAAGCAUAUAUGGUUGUUUGAAAAGUGUUUUUCAAAGGAAAACCAGGAUUAAGCUACUUGAACAUUGAGCAUCAAGAUCUAUGGAGAUAGAUCAAAGUGCUUAAUAGAACUUUCGACGAAAUACAUGCCUUGACAAGUUUUUUGAAGGAGUUCAAAAUAGAUCGGAAAAGGAGGAGUUCUUAGCUAUGUUGUAAGGUGUGAAUUUGAGUAAGACUCAAAAGCCUGACCACGGUAGAAGAAAGAGAAAGGACGAAGGUCGUCCCCUAUGCAUCAACCAUAGGCUCUAUAGUAUGUUAUGUUGUGUACCGCACCUUAAGUGUGCCUUGCCAUCAGUGAGUCAAGGGGUACAAGAGUGAUCCGGGAAUGGAUCACUGGGCAUCGGUCAAAGUUAUCCUUAGUAACUAGUGGACUAAGAAAUUUUUCUUGAUUAUGGAGAUGAUUAAAGAGUUCGUCAUAAAGGAUUGCGUCGAUGCAAGCUUUGGCACUAAUCCGGAUAACUCCAAGUAGUAAACCGGAUUCGUAUAGUGGAGCAGUCAUUUGGAAUAGUUCCAAAUGGUGCAUGGUAGCAGCAUCUAUAGAAUGACAUAGAUAUUUGUAAAGCACACACGGAUCUGAAAGGUUUGGACCCGUUGACUAAUAAACCUCUCUCACAAGAAAGAUAUGAUCGAACCCCAGAACUGUAUGGGUGUUAGAUUCAUUGCAAUCACAUAGUGAUGUGAACUAGAUUAUUGACUCUAGUGCAAGUGGGAGGCUGUUGGAAAUAUGCCCUAGAGGCAAUAAUAAAUUGGUUAUUAUUAUAUUUCCUUGUUCAUGAUAAUUGUCUAUUAUCCGUGCUAUAAUUGUAUGAAUCAGAAAUCAUAAUACAUGUGUGAAUACAUAGACCACAACAUGUCCCUAGUGAGCCUCUAGUUGGCUAGCUCGUUGAUCAAUAGAUGAUCAUGGUUUCCUGAUCAUGGACAUUGUAUGUCAUUGAUAACAGGAUCACAUCAUUAGGAGAAUGAUGUGAUGGACAAGACUCAAUCCUAAGCAUAGCACUAGAUCGUGUUGUUCGUCUGCUAAAGCUUUUCUAUUGUCAAGUAUCAUUUCCUUAGACCAUGAGAUUGUGCAACUCCCGGAUACCGUAGGAGUGCUUUGGGUGUAUCAAACAUCACAACGUUACUGGGUGAUUAUAAAGGUGCACUAUAGGUAUCUCCGAAAGUGUCUGUUGGGUUGGUACGAAUCGAGACUGGGAUUUGUCACUCAGUGUGACGGAGAGGUAUCUCUAGGCCCACUCGGUAAUGCAUCAUCAUACUGAGCUCAAUGUGACUAAGGAGUUAGCCACGAGAUGAUGUGUUACGGAACGAGUAAAGAGACUUGCUGGUAACGAGAUUGAAUAAGGUAUAGGGAUACCGCCGAUCGAAUCUCGGGCAAGUAUCAUACCGGUAGACAAAGGGAAUUGGAUACGGGAUUGAGUGAAUCCCCGAUAUCGUGGUUCAUCCGAUGAGAUCAUCGUGGAACACGUGGGAAUCAACAUGGAUAUCCAGACCCCGUUGUUGGUUAUUGACCGGAGAGGUGUCUCAUUCAUGUCUGCAUGGUUCCCGAUGAGAUCUCGGACGUCACGAGGAGUUCCGGAAUGGUCCGGAGAUAAAGAUUCAUAUAUAGGAAGUGAGGAGUUGAUCGAUGGAAGUGUUUGGGGCGUCACCGGUAACGUACCGGGACCACCGGAAGGGUUCCGGGGGUCCACCGGGAAGGGUCACCAGCCCCAAAGUGCUACAUGGGCAAAAAGUGGAUGGGAACCAGCCCCUAGGUGGGCUGGUGCGCCACCACUAAGGUCCCAAGGCGCAUCAAGGGGCUAAGGGGCCAAACCCUAGGCGUGAAGGGCCUGCCUUGGGCCCAAAGCCCACCCUAGGGCGCCACCCCUCCAUCCAUCUAGGGUUGUCGCACCCCUUAGGGUGGGCACCCUCCUCCCUCUCCUCCUAUAUAUAGUGGAGGGUUUGGGGCUGUUUUGAGACACAAUUGCCUUUCUCCACGGCGCACUCCUACUCCUCCUCCUCUUCGUCCUCCGUAGAGCUUGGUGAAGCCCUGCCGGAGUACCACGUAGCUCCAUCGUCACCACGCCGUCGUGCUGCCGGAGCUCUCCCUCAACCUCUCCUCCCUCCUUGCUGGAUCAAGGCGUUGGAGACGUCACCGGGCUAUACAUAUGUUGAACGCGGAGGCGCCGGUGUUCGGUGCUUAGAUUGGAAUCCACCGCGAUCUGAAUCGCUACGAGUACGACUCCUUCAACCGCGUUCUAGUAACGCUUCCGCUUAGCGAUGUUCAAAGGUAUGAAGAUGCUCUACUCCUUUGCUCGUUGCUGGUUUCUCCAUAGAUAGAUCCUUGUGUGACGUAGGAUUUUUUUUGAAAUUACUACGUCCCCAAAAGCCGAGGGGCAAGACCAACUCAAUGAUUAACGAAAAGCGUGAUGCGACAUCCUUCGCCUUACAAGAAACUUUGCAAGGCAAGAUGACUCAAAAGAAAGUGAUGAAGGAGAGGAGGAGCAAAUGAAGAUAUACCUGGAGCUCCAAACAAAGAAGCUUGACAUGGAGAAGGUUGAAGAAGAGAGGGGGUGAAAAUGAGAGAGGGUUUGAAUGCGGUGCUUAGUAAGAAGUGUGGGUAAAUAUAGGAGCGUUAGGCCGGUAGGAAUGAAUGCUGACAUUUGAACUACGUGUUGUUGAUAAUGCAGAUAGACAAGGGAAAGGAGGUGGUGCCAUCAAUGGAGAAGGGCAAGGAGGCCGUGCCGCCAUUGGUGGACGUGUCGGUGCAGGAUCACCCUAACACCAAGCGGUGGAACUACGGGCACUACCAUGAGGAGGCAAACCAAACCACUUAUGCAAGGUGAUCUAUGCUUUGUGGCUGGAGGCUUUGCCUUUGCCUCUGGACAUCACAAAGCACUUCCCCGCCGUGCCUACAGAGUCAGUUUGAAGACAACCACCGCGUGCUCAUGGAGGGUCAUGGUGAAGGUGGUCGACGGCAGGGUCACCCUUGAUCUGGGUUGGGACACCUUCGCCGCCGUUCACCAUGUCAGGAUCGGGUACAUGCUGACUUUUAAGUUGCUCAUCCCGAACAUCAUGAAGGUGACCGUCUUCAACAAUGACGACAUGGAGGUGGUCACCAAGUGCAAGAAGCACGACGAGGCUUUCACGGUUUCUAGUUUCGUGUUGGUUGUUCUUUUAAGACUAUGUGUUGUUGUAUCGUUUAAAACUUAUCAUACUAAGUUCUGUGUGUGGUUAAAUUUUGAUGUGUUUCUAAGUUUGUUCUAGUUGCUCUAUUUUUUGGUCCCUGAUAACCUCACCAUAUCGAGAAGGAGGUUACCACACUUAUUGUCCUGAACGUAACCAAACAACCGGACUUGUGUUUCGCCUCAAACGAGGCCACAACCAAACAACAUGCCUUCUCUUUCAGCACAUGCAUGCUAGAGGGGAUGCACGCAAUCAAUCAACACACUCCCCCGUUUCUUUUUAGUCUGCAUAUAAGAUUUGGUCAAAGUCAAGUGAUACAAAGUUUGACCAAAUAUAUAUCAAAAGAUAUCAACAUCUAUAAUACGAAACCUAUAUGCUAUGAAAAUUAAUAUCAUGAUGCAUCUACUAAUAUUGAUUUCAUAUUAUAAAUGUUGAUAUUUUGUUCAAUAAAUUUUGUCAAAGUUUACGAAGUUUGACUUUGAUCAAAUCUUAUAUACGGACUAAAAAAGAAACGGAGGGAGUACAUACAUUGUUUUUUCGGCACAUGCUCACCCAGGUUUAACCGAGACAAGUAUGCAAAGUGUAAAAAACGAGGAAGAUGAUCAAACACGUCUUUAAUUAUGUAGAGACCGGGUGUAUGCUCAUUAUGUUUGUAUCGCCCGAUGCCACAUUAUGAAUCAAUAAAAACGUUCUUUCUAAAAAAAAAAGACAUUUCUAUUGGCCACCGCCCAAGUUCUCCUUGCACAGAAAGGAAAAAGGAAAAAAGAAAAUCCUUGAACAAAGUCGACAUUUUGCUUUGCUCGACAAGAACAAUUCGGGCACACAGUAGCAGUCAGUCGAUUUCAACGGUGAGGAGGAGACGGCGGGUGAACUGGGUGAAUCAUCGUCUUCCCGGACAGCGACUCGCACCGCGUCCGAGGGCGAGGGGCGGCAGACGAGCACGAAACCACCUCGCGACACGCGGCUCCCACCACAGCGCACCGCACCGCACCGCACCCAGACGGGGAAAAGGGAGAAGAAAUCUUGUGCGCCGCCCCCUUCCCCCCCACGGCCAAGAACAAAACUAACUUUCCCUUGCGGGUGCGCACGGUCGUCUUCCACAACCUCCACUCCCUUCGCGCGGCCGCUAUCCCGUUUCCGCUCCCCGCCCCAGCACCGGCCUAACCCGGCACACGCCAAGAACAAGCAAGCUCAGAAGCCAGAAACUUCUUCGAUCGAUCAGCAACAGUCGGGCGGACCAAGAGUCUGUUCGAUCCGGCCGGUGCAAGAACCUGCUGGGACAGGCGAGCGCGACGACGACGCCGGGAGGUCUCCGCUCUCCGACGGCAGGCGAGGUGACAGUGGCACCGGAGGGAUGGGCCUUUCGGCGGUGAGGCGUAACACGCCGCUCUUCUCCAAGUCGCCGGCCUCCCUGCUUCUGCUCUCCAAGCGGCUCACCCUCUACUGUUGAGCUCCCGGCGGGCGGCCGUUUCCUUCUCGGUCGAGCGAGCCAUCCAUCCAUGGGCGCCGUUGGUUCGUCGGCGAGGCGCGGCGGGGGCACGGCGCUGGGGGACCUGCCGGAGAACUGCGUCGCCGAGGUCAUGCUCAGGCUCAACCCGACGGAGAUCUGCGGCAUGGCCCGGCUCAGCCGCACCUUCCGCGGCGCCGCGUCCGGGGACGCCGUCUGGGAGGCCAAGCUGCCGCGCAACUACGCGCGCCUCCUCGCCGCCGCCGGCGGUGGCGACGAGGAGGCCGCCGCGUUGGAGGCGGAGGCAAUCCCAAAGAAGGAGGUGUACGCGCGGCUCUGCCGCCGCAACUCCCUCGACGGAGGCACCAAGGUGUGUGCUCUGUCACAUCUUUCUGGUUAACAUCGCCACUAUGAAGCAAACUGCGUCUGUUAAAAAUAUUGAAAAUUUCCCGUAAUUUGUUCUAAAAUUUAUGACAAACCUUGUGCAAAUUAGUAUGCCGGCAAAUUAAUAAAACUGCGGGAAUUUGAUUUUGCUAGUAAAGGUGCAGGAAGUUGAGUUUAUUUUGGCGUGAAGUUUGUGUUAAUAAAGUGCAGGAAUUUGAGUUUAAGUCUGAUUAGUUUCAUAUACGCCGAUUUGAAGAUGAUCUUGUUUUGUUUUCCUUGAAUUGAAUUACUGUUGCUAAUUUGUUACUGCUACUGCAAAUGGAAUUCAUUAUCUGAUUCAUUGUGCAGGAGUUCUGGCUCGACAAGGCUGGUGGAGGCACCUGCAUGACAAUCUAUUCCAGGGCGCUUUCGAUAACAGGCAUUGAUGACAGGAGAUACUGGAACUUCAUUCCAAAUGAUGAAUCAAGGUGCUUUCAUCAAAACCAAACAUGACAGCUCAUAAUUGCCCCAUUUAUAGAAACUCUGUGCCAUGAUAUGUGAAUUUUCUUGCACUAUGUUGCUUGGAAGUGUGUUCAACAACUUCAGUUUUCAGCCCAGGCGCAUUUGGUUUGUGGGUGAGUAUCUGAACUCCGGGUGCGUAUCGCCGAAGCUGAGCAGCACCUCCCGCUAUUUGUAGAGCUCGCUUGUCGUAUGUCAUGGCCACUAAAGAAAUCCAAAUGGUGCAAACUACAUCAACUCUAUCUGUGUUCAACUCGUGUUACAAGCUGCAACUACCAGUUAGUUGUCUUGUCUUGAUAAAAGCAAAAAAAAAAAAAAAACCGGGAUUAUGAACAACACACUACUUCCGCAUGUCACCAACUAGGGGUGUGAUUAUCUGCAGUGGCCCCUGAAAUGUAUGCCAGUUGGAACGUGAUAAGCCCUUGCGUACCAGUAGUUGUUUCUUAUGAUGCCUGCAUAGGUUAACCAUGCCUUUCAUGUGAGAUAAUUGAGCAUGUUUGCUUUGUUAAUCAUGCCUUUCAUUUGAGAUAAUUGAGCAUGCCAAAGGCUUGCUUUACUGGCAUUCGACAACACAUAUCCAUUCCAAAUGCGGUACAAGUAUGUAUGUUAUGUGCUUCUAUUGAUGCAGAGGCCGGGGCAAAGCCUCCUUUUCUAAAAAAAAUGUAUCUUAUGUGCUUGUACAGUUGUGCUUUGUCAACUGUAUAUGGUUAUAGAGCCAGAGUGUUCCAAACAUUUGGCAGAUAAGAGAAGUCCUGAUAAGCAUGCCGCUUUUUCUGCAGGUUCCGUUCGGUUGCUUAUCUCUCGCAAAUCUGGUGGUUUGAAGUCAGAGGUGAGGUUAAGUUCUGCUUCCCAGAAGGUACAUAUAGCCUGUUCUUCCGAAUUCAUCUGGGCAGGCCUUUCAAGCGGCUCGGUCGUCGGGUUUAUAGUGCCGAGCACAUCCAUGGGUGGGACGUAAAGCCGGUGCGCUUCCAGCUAUCGACUUCAGACGGGCAGCAGGCCCAGUCCAAGUGCUACCUUACCGACCCAGGCGUGUGGAUCUAUCAUCAUGUCGGCGAUUUUGCCGUGAAGAACUCGAACGAACCACUGAAUAUCCAGUUUGCGAUGGUUCAGAUAGACUGCACACACACAAAAGGAGGCCUGUGUAUGGAUUCAGUGGUUAUAAAACCCAAAUGCCUUGCGCGGAAGGGACCUAGGAGUUGUGAGUAGAUCUGGUGAGCAGAGAUUAAGCUGGAUCUGUAGAAAUGAUAUGGUUUCGCUUGUUUUCCGCCGUAGUGUGCUUUCGGCUGUCGCUGUUUUUCGAUCCUGUAAUGUAAAUAUAAUUGGAGGGGUGAGUGAUUUUUUAUUUCCUCUUGUCCCUAUAGGAGCAUCAAACAUGUCACACCUUGUUAAUUGUGAGUUUAGUGGCAUAUAUACAUGUUUGCUUUUGCUAUGUUCUAUGGCACCUGAUCCUUGUGUACCAAAGCUUGGCUGAAUCAAAUUCCCCUCAACUUCCUCUUUUUUUCUUUUCAACCUACUACCUCAACUCCCUCUUUGCCCGUUGAGGUCCUCUUUGAUUCCUUGAUCUGCAGGAUUUCCAAAACAGAACUGAAGCACCAUGCCUUUUUGAAUUUUACAUUGUUGUAGACCAGAAGAGUUGACACAAUAUUAUGUUCAGCGAAACAUCACAUGAAAAACUAAAUUAUGCUUGAUGAGAUUAGACACAAUGAGAAUUACACUUUGAAAGUGAGAUUAAUUCUUAGAGAAACCCUUGAGGUUUCUGGUCCAACAAACCAAAACACCACUACAGGAAAUGUUUCAAGGCUCCAAACUCUACGAAAUUCCGCAAAGAUCCAUUCAAAUCAAAGAGGUCAUGAGUAGCAAAGCCAAGACAGUGUUGGAAAACUGGAAAAUUGCUAUGGAUCAGAGGGAGUACUAAAGUUUUAUAAUGCCAAUUUCGAUAGUAAAAAUAGCUGCAUCCAAUUCCCUCGGCAAUCGCGUGAAGUAUGUUCUCUAGUUUUCCUACAGCUUCAUCCAAAGCAAAGAGGUCCUGAAUAACAAAACGAAAACACGGGUGAAAAAUUGUUUGUUGGGGACAUGAUAGGCCUUUGGGGGCGUGUGGAUGUGGAUGGGGUGUGCUUACGACAACACAGCCUCGCCACAGAACAUAGGUGUGCUGGUGCUGAACACCUGUUGCUGACACUGAGGAUGCCACCGGAUGAGAUGAGAUCACGCGUGACAGCCGUAGGGUCAUCGAGAAGAGACUUUGUGCUGUAGGUUGCAUCACACCACAUCCAACACUUUACAACUUUAUGCAACUAACCAGAGAAUGAUUAAUCAUGGAAAGAACAACUUAAACUUUUUAAAAGAUGGGAUGCAGACAAGAACAUCUAUCAGCACAGGAAUCUAUGUACACCGGAUGGAGUGGAUCAGUGUCAGCACUGGAUCAUGGAGCUUAAUUAAUUAACUACUUCCUCCGUUCUUAAAUAUAAGUCUUUUUAAAAAUUUCACUAGGGCUACAUACGAAGCAAAAUGAGUGAAUCUACCCUCUAAAGUAUGUCUAUAUACAUUCGUAUGUAGUUCCCUAGUGGAAUCUUCAAAAAGACUUAUAUUUAGGAACUGAGGGAGUACUUAUUAGUUAAUACCAUCUGCAAUCGAUCGCCAUUGUUUAGGCAACCAAUGACGCUGAGAUCCAAUGCUAAUCCAGGAUCCGAGGAUAUUAAUAUUGUCGUGUGGCCUUUGCUGUGCCCCUGAUGCAACAGCACUCAAAUAAGGAUAGCAAAUUCAGAGAAAGAACCAUGCCCAAUUGUCCACUACUGAAACAAGCAAGGAUAGCAAAAUAGAGAUAUAUAAAUAAACAUCCUGUUUGAACUUUUCAAACUAUAAAGAGAGACAUGUGCCCGGGAGUAGAAAAUGCAUGUCCUAUAUAUGUGUAUAUAUAACAUUUACAAUCUUGCUUCAGACUUUACACAGUGGGCUGAUGUAAAGAGGGUGCAAUACUUGACAAACCAGAUCACCUACUGAACUGCUCCUGCUCGGUUGCAUUCUCGGAAAAUUGCAAACCAUAUAACCCACUGCCCGCACAUAUUUAUCAUCAUUUUAAUGACAAAACUAAGUUGGGGGACAUCAAACAUGGCAUGAUCCAAAAUACAUUUUUUCUUAAAGCACGACAGUCGACACACCAUCGAGAAUUAUAUAUAUAUAGCAUAAUAGGCCAUAGGAGAGCAAGAUUGUCCAUUAUCAUCACGCGGCGACGAGUCCACACCAUCUCCACAAACAUCGCAAGUUAACCAAAUACCUCCUCAUUGCAGACUGGGCAUGCCUGAAUGAAAACAAAUAUGCAUAUCAGAAAAAGAAUCAGAUAGUCUUUUGAAUAUCAGACAACAACAGAGGAUUGUACAGCAAGAUAUCAGACAACAGAGAAUUUUGAUAUGGCGUCCAGACGAUGUCUACUAAAAAAGCAACACUCCAUAUCUGAAUAUAUUUGCUUAUGUUGAGCGACACAGCAGGUUUAUAUUAACAUUCAGCAUCUAUUCAUAGAGGACGAAAAACUUAUAUUUGAACUGUAUCAUAUCAAAAUUAAACCAAACGGUAUUUUAGUGAAAGAAAAAAUAACUGAGUUUUACCUUGUUAAUCUUAAGCCAGCGAGUUAUGCAACCUGCAUGGUAACAAUGGCUGCAGGGCAGCCUUAUCAACUUCUCUCGGCUUUUAUAGUUCGAUUUGCAGAUCACGCAUCUGCAUGGAGACAUCACAUAGUUAUAUGUUUGCCUUGGGGUUACAAAGUGAUGACCGACUCUCAGAGUAAAACAAAUGUCACGUACUCAUCGGUAUUCUUUUUGCUCGAGAAGAAGUUACAUUUGUUCCUAAAAGGCUCCAGGUAGCUUAUCAGGUCAUCAGAUAAUCCUCUGGAUUGAGUUCCUACCUCUUCACCGAUUGCUUGUAGUUGCUACACAAUACAAUACCAAAUUAAUAGUAGUAAAUAAGUUGUUCAGAAAUGAGAUUUUUGUGUCAUACAAUAUGUCAAUCAAAGUGUGUCUAUUAUAAUGUCCAAUUGUUUUAUUGUCAAAUCACGGGAACAAAGUAGUAUAACUGAACUUUUUGUAUGGAAGCAGGUAUCCUGAGACAGUGAACCACAUCGACGAUAUGCGUUUAGAAAACUGUUUGUUCUCUAUAAACCAUCAAGUAAUGUUCCUUCCGCAAAAGCAAAACAACAUACCUCGUAUGACAUAUUAUCCGGGUCGACAUUAUCCUCUGUUGCCACCUGCAUACACACAUUGUGAUCAACUCAUCAUUCUGGGACCCCCUUCAAAUUUCAGUUCAGGUAAUUGGAAUCCCUUUCUAAGGAAUGUGUUGAUGAUCCCAAUGAGCCAACAAAAGAAAGCAAAAGAGUAGAAAGGCAACAAACCUGGGCUGCAUUAUUGGCAGGCCUGUACUCAACAGCUGGUGAUGAUGGUUCCAAGGAUACGCUGCCUAAAAACAAUGCGGCAUCAACAUGUAGCACGCGUGAGCAUUAGUUGAGUACAGCUAAUGAAUCCACCUCAAACAAUGCAAAAGAUGCUCGGAGAUUGGGAGCAGUGGCACUAUAUUAUACCAGCGAAUUCCCUAAUGGCGAGCGAGUCCUCCUCCUCUUGCAGUUGCCUGGCCAAAGCCUCGUCCGAUUCGCACCAGGCCUCGAUCUUAUGGGUCUCCGAGGAGACAUGGACUGCGUAGGUAUUGGGAGCUGCCAUUGCUGAAUUGUGACGCUUCCCUGCAGCAAUUUGCAGCUAAUGAACACUAUAAUUGGAUCAAUCAAUGCAACACUACAUUCUACAUGUAUAAACCUGUUCUGGCUAUCGUCUUAACUGAAGUAAGGAACAUUCAGAAUUUGGAUUCGGAAUCGCAUUAAAAGCUGAUGAUUGCCAGGUAUUAUUCCUCUUUCUAUUUAUAGACUGAUUAAGAAAAUAUUUUCUGCAAAUUACUGUGCUCCGGGAAGAAGUAGAAACACACACUCUCCAAAUAAAUACAGCUUAAUUCAACUCUUGAAAAGAGCAGCCAUGACUUUUUCUAACACCUAAAAGAGCUCGAAUAUCUAAAGAAGAAGAAGAACAACAAUAAAAUCCAACCUUGAUAUUCUUCUUAUUAUCGCCGAAUAACAACUAUUUUAUCUAUCGAUCAGCGACCGCUUUAGCAUACCAUGGAAUACAUUUCCCGGCUCAGUUCCGAGCAGACGACACGCUAGACACGCCGCUCCAAGAACAAGAGGGGAAAAAGGGGGCAGAAUCCAGAGCAUAUCCGGGCAAUCCUAAACUUGGCGGAGAAGGGGAGGAAAGGGACGGUGAAAGAGAGAGAGAGAGAGGCGAUCGACCCGGAUCAAGAACACGAUUCACCGGACGAUUCUCGGCGAUCGAGGAGUCGAUGCAUACCUUGCCUGCCGCCUUGUGAGACGAGCGGAAGAGCAGAGAGUGACGGCGCCGCCUCCGCCCCCGCCUCCUCUCUGUCUAUCUCUGUCCCUCUCAGCCGAGCCAGACGUGCGCUAUUGUGCCACUGGAGAAAGGCUUUAUGCUACCGACGUGGUCGCGGGUGCUCCCAAAGUCCAACUGAUGGAGACUACCUACUGGUAUGUAGUAGUAUGCGCCUUCCUUUCUCUUCUUUUUUUGGUCCGUUCUGAUUUGCAUUCCUUCAUUCCUUUGUGUCCCUCGCUCUUGGCUCGGCAACCCAAUCUUUUGAUUUUGUUUCCGUUCGAUCACAGUUGCAGUUGCCCAAAUCUUGUUGAUUGUGUUUUUUGUUUCCAUAAUUCAGAAGAUGUGGGACAAGAAAAUGAGUGAAAUUGCAAUGCCAUGUCCGCCUGAAUUCCGUACUGUCGAAUUAAUCUGCUUCGGAUUUCGUCAGAUCUUUUUUUCCCGGGUUCGUCGGGGGGACGGAAUGGUAUCUGGUGAAUGGCUGAACAGUUUCCCAGGUUUUGAUCCUGGCUGUAACGCUCGUGAACUUGACACUUGUACUUCUUUUUCCUGGGUGAAAGGAGUUUUAUUUUAAAAUUAUAGGGUUACAUAAGAAUGGCAACAAUUCCUUGAUACAUGGGAUCUUUGGUGUAACCACACGGCAGUAGUACACUCGAUACGACUAUAGUUUGCCUCGUGACUUUUAAUUGGCAUCUGUUGAGUAAAUAGGUAAUUUUCCGAAUAUAUUAAUCCACGAAAUAAUAACUAACAUGACAUUGACUAGACUAAUGAUAUACUGAUCAUGAACUAAUCUAACACAUACUAGGCAUAUAGUUGAUACAUCUAUGCAUUCCAGCGGUAUUACUAGGAUUGAAACGAACAGGAGUGGGAUAAACGAGCUAUACCCUCCAGUAGGCCAGUUGGCCGUAGCAGCGAUGUUGGCAGCGGAUGCAGCGGUAGCAUCCUCUGCCCUCUUCUUCUUAGCUUCAAGGGCGAGACGAUCGGCCUCGGACGGUUCAACCAUGGCGAUGACGAGGACGACGUGGACGUAGACGAAGCAGACGGGCGGAGGCGAGCAGUCGCGUGAUUGCUCCCCAAAAACCUAAUCGCCCCUCUCCCGUACAGGAACCGGAGAGGCGGGGUUUCGGAGACCUGCUCUCCCGUCGACCGUGUACGCGGUGAACGGGACGGAGUCGCCGGCAGCAGCAGCAACAAAGGAACGAGCGCGUGAGGCAGAUGCGAUCCUGAUUCUCGUGACGGCUAGGGUUGGCGUUAGCCCUGCUUAUAUAGGCGGCCGGAUGGAGACACGUGUGCUGAACCCACGUCCGAGUCGGUAACAUGACCGGCAAAAAUAAGCGCGUAGGUAUGAGCUCGGCUCGGCUCAUUCCCGCGGCGCGUCGUGAUGAGGCGGGCGACGGAGGAGGAGUGCGCGAGGGCAUCUUCUCUUCUCACUCUCCAAUAGCAUGUAGAAGAGAGCCCCUUAUAAAGGGGUCCAACUUCUUCUCCACUAGCGGGAUGGGACUAAACUUCCCACCACCACCUUAUCAUGCCACCACCUACAUGGGCCCUUCGAGAUUUCUGAAAUUCUCUUAUGGGCCUAAGGCCCACUACUAAUUUCAACAAUCCUCCACCAGAUCUCAAGGGCACAUCGUGUUCCCUCGUUCCAAUCACUGUUUUAAUAUACCAACAUUUCAGUGAAGACCUGUUAAGGUUGAGCUUCACCUAGAACAAGUAGCUACACCCCUUUACAACUGAAUAAUGGACUAUGCCUUGAAUUGUCAGUUUGGUGUAAAGAAGCUUCACCACAAGUCUUACUAGUACUAGGUUACCGAAGGCUGACCCCUCGGGUGGAGCAUAUAAGUCAUACUCCUGGCCUAUUCAUGAGUUUACUAGAGAUCACCCCAAUCUCAUAGACUGUGACCAGCAGUCAAGCUCAUAUAGGUGUGUUUCUCGAAAGAUCGCUCUGUAGGACAGCAUCUUGCUUACACAUAAGCUUUAGAACACAUUAAGACAGUAGUCAUCCUACCAUACAGUAUCCGAGAGUAUUGCAUCUCCAACGGAGUGGGUUAGUUAAGUUACUCUCCUCAGUUCACCAGUGGCUUGUUUUCCCAGGUCCUACUUCACGGGAUCUCCGAUCAUAUAGGUUGGGUUACUUCCAUGGCAACUCAUGUGGGUCUCAUACCCAUCUCCCUCGAUGCACUAUCUAUCACAACAUGUGAUAGCCCUUUAGUAAAGGGAUCUGCCAGAUUCAUAGCCGUUUGGAUGUAAGCCAACGCUAUCACUCCGGAGUUUCUCAAACGUCUGACAGACUUCAAUCUCAUUCUUAUAUGUUUGUUGGACUUCAUAUUAUCCUUUGAACUCUUCACUUUGAAAAUAACUGUCUGAUUAUCGCAGUUCAUAAGGAUAGCCGGAACCGGCUUCUCAACCACAUGUAAGUCCAUCAAAAGAUCUUGAAGAAAUUCUGCUUCGACACCAGAUGUGUCUAAUGCUGUUAAUUCUGCUUCCAUUGUCUAUCUCGUUAAGAUCGUUUGCUUGCAAGACUUCCAGGAAACAGCACCACCCCCAAGAGUAAACAUAUACCCAGUAGUGGCCUUCAUCUCAUCAGCAUCAGAGAUCCAAUUCGCAUCACUAUACCCUUCAAGUACCGAUGGGUAUCCCGUAUAGUGAAGUCCGUGGUUGACAGUACCUUUCAAGUAGCGCAUAAUUCUUUCAAUAGCACACCAAUGAACAUCGCCCGGGUUUGCAACAAAUCGGCUAAGUUUGCUCACAGCAAACGCGAUGUCAGGCCUCGUUGCGCUAGCUAGGUACAUAAGCGAACCGAUAAUUUGAGAGAAUCUCAAUUGAUCUAUAGAUGUGCCUUUAAACUUUCGAAUAAGCACACUAGGAUCAUAUGGUGUUUGAGAAAUUUUGCAGUCCGAAUAUCCAAAGCGACUCAAAAUCUUCUCAACAUAGUGGGAUUGCAGAAGUGUAAUCCCACCCUCAUCAUCUCUCAAAAGCUUGAUGUUCAAGAUAACAUCAGCCACCCCAAGGUCCUUCAUCUCAAAGUUUUGAGACAGAAAAGACUUAACCUCCUCAAUUACUUUGAGGUUGGUUCCAAAUAGCAGUAUGUCGUCAACAUACAAGCAUAAUAUAACUCCUUCGCCCCCACCAUGGCGAUAGUAUACACAUUUGUCAGCUUCAUUAACAACGAAGCCAACAGAUGUCAGAGUUGUAUUAAACUUCUCAUGCCAUUUCUUAGGUGCUUGUCUCAGACCAUAUAACAAUUUCAGCAACUUACACACCUUUCCUUCCUGACCUUCUAUCACAAAGCCAUCUGGCUGUUGCAUAUAGAUUUCCUCAUUUAGCUCUCCAUUCAGGAAAGCCGUCUUAACGUCCAUUUGAUGAACGAGAAGAUCAUGCGAGGCCGCCAAUGAGAGUAGUACUCGAAUGGUGGUCAGUCUAGCCACAGGUGAAUAAGUAUCAAAGAAAUCUUCUUCUUCUUUCUGGGCAUAGCCCUUGGCCACAAGCCUAGCCUUGUACUUUUCAAUCGUACCAUUGGGCCUAAGCUUACUUUUGAACACCCACUUGCAUCCCAAUGGUUUGCAACCAUAUGGACAAUCAGUAAUUUCCCAUGUCCCAUUAGCCAUGAUGGAAUCCAUCUCGCUACGGACUGCAUCUUUCCAGUAAUCAGCAUCUGGAGAAGCAUACGCUUCUGAAAUAGAAGUGGGAUUAUCAUGCACGAGGUAUACGAAUAAAUCAUCACCAAAGGUCUUUGCAGUCCUUUUUCUCUUGCCCCUACCAAGAGUUUCCUCGUCAUCCUCCUCAGGAUUAACAUCAUGUGUUUGUUCAUAAUAUUUCAUAGGAAUGGCAGGCUCGGGAGUUAUCUCAGAUUCCUGUCUAGAAGUGCUUUGCAUAUCUCUCAUGGGAAAUAUAUCCUCAAAGAAUGUAGCAUCCCUCGACUCCAUUAUUGUACCAACCUUCACAUCAGGUACCUCAGAUUUCACUAUUAGAAAUCUAUAGCCUACGCUAUUCUUAGCGUAUCCCAAAUUAACGCAGUCCACAGUCUUUGGUCCAAGCUUACGCUUCUUGGGGAUCGGUACAUUGACUUUCGCCAAGCAGCCCCAAGUACGUAAGUACGANNNNNNNNUCCUCUUCUUUCUUGUCGUCCUUCUCUUCGACCACUCCUCGUAGGGAGUGACCUCAUUAUCUUUUGUAGGAACCUUAUGCAGGACAUGACACGCGGUCAAUAUAGCCUCCCCCCGCCAUCCUUGGAUAAACCCGAUGUAUCUAACAUGGCAUUAACCAAAUCAGUUAGAGUACGGUUUUUCCGCUCGACAACCUUGACUGGGGUGAAUAGGAAGGCGUCCUCUCAUGAGUAAUGUCGUGUUCCGCACAAAAUGAAUCAAAUUCGUUUGAGAAGUGCUCUCCACCACGAUCAGACCAGACUCAUUUAAUUUUCUUUUCAAGUUGAUUCCCAACUUCUGCCUUAUAGAUUUUAAAGUAGUGUAGAGCCUCAUCUUUAGUAUUUAACAGAUACACAUAGCAAUAUCUAGUGGAAUCAUCUAUCAAUGUCAUGAAAUAUUUCUUUCCACCUUUAGUCAACACAUCAUUCAUCUCACAAAGAUCAGAAUGUAGGAGUUCUAAUGAUGCCAAGUGUCUCUCCUCUGCAGCCUUGUGAGGCUUGCGAGGUUGCUUUGCUUGCACACACGAAUGACACUUAGAACCUUUGGCUAAAGUGAAAGUCGAUAUUAAAUUCAGUUUUGCUAGCCGCGACAUAACACCAAAACUUAUGUGACAAAGACGUGAAUGCCAAACCUCAGAUUCAUUAACACUCGGAUGAAUAUUGUUCACGACUUUAUUACAAAAAUCUGCAAGGGAAAGGCGGAACAAACCUCUGCAUUCAUAACCUUUACCAACAAAAAGUCCAUAUUUUGUAACAACUACUUUUUUAGACUCGAAUACCAACUUAAACCCUUCUCUACACAGAAGGGAGCCACUAACGAGGUUCUUCUUGAUGGCGGGGACAUGCUGCACGUUCUUCAGCUGCACGAUCCUUCCCGAAGUAAACUUCAGAUCGACCCCGUCAACACCAAGAACAGAAGCACUCGCGCCAUUCCCCAUCAAUACGGACCCGUGACUUGUGGCCUGAUAAGAAGAGAACAAUGAGAUGUCAGCACACACAUGAAUAUUUGCACCCGUGUCCACCCACCAAUCGGUGGACUGACAAACUGAAAAUACAAUAAAUAAAUUACCGUACCAGAUGCACCACUUUCAUUGUUGCCCACAAUCAUAUUAGCAGACUUAGAGUCCUGCGCCGGCUUCUUGUACUUGUUUGGGCACUUGUUUGCCCAAUGUUCCUCUGAACCACAAGUAAAGCAUCCCUCUCCCUUCUUAUUCUUCUUGAAUGUCUUCUUUCCCUUCUUUUUGAAGUCGGUAUUCUGUUGGACAGAAUUUUUUUCCUUGGACUUGUGGGAAUUGAAGUUCCUCUGAUGUACCAUAUUGGCAACAAAAGAGCUUUCGGCCGCUUUUCCAUUGGAGUCCUUUGCUCUCGAAUUCUGCUCAACACUCAGAUGGCCGAUGAUGUCCUCCACUGAGAACUCACGCCUCUGUUGUUUCAAAGUAGUAGUAAAGUUCCUUCAGGAAUUAGUGAGCUUAGCAAUUAUACAGCCCGCGACAAACUUGCUCGGCAAAUUGCACUUAAGAACCUCAAGUUCUUUAGCUAUGCAUAUUAUCUCAUGAGCCUGUUCCAAUACAGAACGAUUGUCAACCAUUUUAUAAUCGUGGAACCGCUCCAUAACAUACAUCUCACUCCCAGCAUCAGUGGCCCCGAAUUUAGAUUCGAGCGCCUCCCACAGCUCCUUGGCAACAUGCAUAUGUAAAUAUGCAUCAACCAGCUUAUCUCCGAUCACGCUAAUGACUGCUCCAAGGAAUAGGACGGUGGCCUCCGCGAACAUCUUCUGUUGUUCAGCAGAGAUCGUUCCCGUGUGAGUGACACCGGCUACCGAGAACACGUUCAUAGCUGUGAGCCAUAAGGCGGUUUUCGUUUGCCAACGCUUGAAAUAAGUACCGGUAAACUUAUCCGGUUUCAGUGCAACAGCAAAACCAUUACUCGAAAAAUUCCUACACACAUUAGGUUUUUGGAUUGUUGAGUAAAUAGCAAUUUUCUGAGUAUAUUAAUCCACGAAAUAAUAACUAGCAUGUCAUUGACUAGACUAGUGACAUACUGAUCAUGAACUAAUCUAGCACAUACUACGCAUAUAGUUGAUACAUCUAUGCGAGUGGGAUAAACAUACCCUAGGUAGGUAGGUAUGAGCUCGGCUCAUUCCUACGGCGGGCGGCGGAGGAGGAGUGUGCGAGGGCAUCCUCUCUUCUCACUCUCCAAUAACAUGUAGAAGAGAGCUCAUUAUAAAGGGGUCCAACUUCUUCUCCACUAACGGGGUGGGACUAAACUUCCCAUCACCACCUUGUCAUGCCACCACCUACAUGGGCCUUUGAAGAUUUCUGAAAUUCUCUUAUGAGCCUAAGGCCCACUACUAAUUUCAAUAGCAUCCUCGAUAUACCUUGUGAGGUGUUUUACAUUAGGCUGAACCGAACCGCCUUUUCAUCUUCUUCUUCUUCAGAAAAGAAGAAAAUACUGCAAUUUUUGUUUGGUUUAAAAAAACAACAAGUAUGACAUGCACAUUCGCACACCCGUCCACAAAUCAAGCAAUUUUUUUCUUUGAAAAAUGCCAGGAAUGACAUGCGCAGUGGCACACAAAUACUUUCAAUUUUUUCCAAGAAAUCGAAUCCUACAAAUGUCAUUAUUAUAUUAUAGAAAGUGUUGGUUCUUAGAACGUCUCCAACAGGUGUUCAAUUUUUUUUAUUAUGUUUAACAUGUUUUUUAUACUUCUGAUAAACAUUUAUACUAAUAAAUCUAAUCCUUUUCGUAAAAAACAACAAGAAGUCAAGUCGUCGUCAAGAGAUCUGGUAGAGGGUCUACAUGGCUUUGUGGCAGCCGGGACGGGCACUCAUGGUGGACGAGUCACUCCCCGAUUAAUGUGCAAGACACGAGGCCCUCGGAUAGUACCAAGUAGCCAAAAUAUUUAUCUAUGUGAUGUGACAUUGAGGCACGGGUAAAUAACUUUAUACCGAAGAAUGCGAAGGAAGCCUUCCCUUUCCUUCUUUAAUAUAUGAUACGCACACUCCUGCGUAUUCGAGAAAAGUCGUCGUCAUCACAAUAAAAAAGAUGAAAUAUGUAUAAUCCAAUUUCUCGAUUCAAUAGAAGCCCAAAGAGGUGCAUAUGGUACCCAAAUAAGAAUAUGAUAGAUAUGUCAAAAACAGGUCUGAUUACACCUAUUCCUAAUCCUAAAUAGAAUGUAAGGACGAAGGGAUUUCUAUGUAAACAGAGUAUCCUAUUUUCAUAUGCUCGAAUGACCCCUUCUUAUAAUAAGAAUGUGCAUGGUCUUGUCCGGUAUGGAAUGGACUUACAAUCUGAUGAUCGAGUCGAUUCCAUGAUUAUAAGUUCAUAACCCUAGCGCUCAUUCCUAUUUUGAACGGAACAGAUCUACUAAUUCUUUUAUUCCAGUUAGUAAGAGGGAUGUUGAACUAAGAAAUAGACCUAAGACCACAGCCUCCCCCCCUGCGGCCCUGCCUUAACUUCAUCCAUCCCCAUUCACCAGUCCCCCACCACUGAAUAAUGAUCAACUCGAUCAAUCACCACGGACACAUCACAGAAUUCACGUCACACGUUCACAUCACGCUGCACGGGCUGGUUAAAGAGACAGUCUAGAACCAUCGGCCACGGCUGUUGGGGUUGGGGAUUGUGCUGUGCAGCGAGGCCGGUGGCAUGUCUCCGUCACGGAACAAGGGGCCUUGCCUCGAGACGUACGGUGGCCUCCAAAUGGAUUCCCUCGAUGGGAUAGCAGCCUUCCCACACGUCCUUCCUAGUGAUUUCGCUCAUGUUGCCGCACCGUUGAGGGCUCUCCGUCGCUCGCUGGCCGCCCUGCUGCCUCGGCGUGCGCUAGACCGUCACACGGAGUGCUGCCUGCGCGACCGCGGUGGUGCAAAAGGUGGCCGCUGUUGUUUUGUUUACCGUGGACGACCGAUCGUGCCGUGGAAUAAGUAUCGGCCAGAACUCAAAAAGUUGUGAGGCAUCACCGUCCCUCUUCUACCGCUUGGGGUAUUCCAAGACGAAAGCAGCACGGCAAAUUAGUUGACGACGAUGGCGACGACACACUGUAUCACCAACCACAAUGGUGCGAGAGAACCAGCGUGUCCUCUGCAAGGUCUCAAGUCUCUCUGUGCCCGAUAGUAAAACUCCGUUAAGAGAUACAUAGAAGAUCCAACUCCAGACGACGGAGUGGACGUGUGAAAAAGAAAAACAAGGAGUGCUACAUCCCGACGUCCAAGCAUGUGGAGCAUAGGUUGUUGUAGGCUUUUAGUGAGCUGUCGGAGGUAGGCAAAGCAUGGGAACCCUGAGCAAAAGAUGCAAGAGCAUGUCUAAAAAGUCGGUCUUUGUUGACAUGUGAUUUUGGCACGAUGCCAAAUGCAGUAAAGAUGGGCUCAAACGAGAAGGUUUUUAUACGAGAAAGUUUAUAUUGCCGAGUGAAAUAACCUUGUUAGACUUGUAAUUGUAUACGUAUUGUAAUCCUUGUAUUAUUGUAUUUGUAUCCAAUGAGGUAUCCCUUAUAUAUAUACAUAUGUUACCGUGGCCGACCCAAGAGGUGUCGAAGCCCACAACAACCCAAAACCCUUUGUCUAUCAUGGUAUCAGACGCGAUCUCGCAAUCCUGACCUACGUCGCCGCCGCUGACCCAAUGUCGUCUUCCGCUGCCUCCAUGGCGGCGACCGUCGCUGCUGCUGUCGCUCUCCAGGAUGCGGACGCUCACGUUGCCCUCUCUGGUUCGGUUUCUGAGUCUUCUCUCACUGAGGGCGUCGCCGACAUGGUACUUUUUGCUACUACCUCUCAUGAAGUCUGGGAUGCAUUGGAGUCUAGUUUCUCCGCUCAAUCAUCAUCCCAGUCUAUGACUACUCGCACUCAGCUCAACGAGACCCGCAAGGAUCACCACUCCGUCACCGUUUUCUUCAACAAGAUCAAGCGCCUUGCUGAUACUCUCGCCUCCAUCGGUGAGCCUCUUCGUGACACGGAGUUCACGUCGUUCAUCCUAAAUGGUCUCGACGCUGAAUAUGAUUCCCUUGUGGAGGUGAUCAAGGAACGCUCAGUGCCUAUCAAACCUCAGGAGCUCUUUCAACGCCUCCUCUCGACGGAGCAGCGUCUCGCCGGCCGUCAUCCGGAUGGGGCCCCCUUGGUCCAUGUUGCCUCCCGCAGCGGCAAAGGGGGUGCCCGUCCUGUCGCUUCACCCUCGACGCCUCCUGCAGGAGGCAAGUGUUGGAAAUAUGCCUUAGAGGCAAUAAUAAAUUAGUUAUUAUUAUAUUUCCUUGUUCAUAAUAAUAUUUUAUUAUCCAUGCUAGAAUUGUAUUGAUUGGAAACUCAAAUACAUGUGUGGAUACAUAGACAACACACUGUCCCUAGUGAGCCUCUAGUUGACUAGUUCGUUGAUCAACGAUGGUCAAGGUUUCCUGGCCAUAGGCAAGUGUUGUCACUUGAUAACGGGAUCACAUCAUUAGGAGAAUCAUGUGAUGGACAAGACCCAAAUUAAAAACGUAGCAUGUGAUCGUGUCAUUUUGUUGCUAUUGUUUUCUGCGUGUCAAGUAUUCAUUCCUAUGACCAUGAGAUCAUGUAACUUACUGACACCGGAGGAAUACCUUGUGUGUAUCAAACGUCACAACGUUACUGGGUGACUAUAAAGGUGCUCUAUAGGUAUCUCCGAAGGUGUCCGUUGAGUUAGCAUGGAUCAAGACUGGGAUUUGUCACUUUGUGUAACGGAGAGGUAUCUCGGGGCCCACUCGGUAAUACAACAUCACAUAUAAGCCUUGCAAGCAAUGUGACUCAAGUGUGAGUCGUGGGAUCUUGUAUUACGGAACGAGUAAAGAGACUUGCCGGUAACGAGAUUGAAAUAGGUAUAGGGAUACCGACGUUCAAAUCUCGGGAAAGUAACAUACCGAAGGACAAAGGGAAUGUUAUACGGGAUUAUAUGAAUCCUUGGCACAAAGGUUCAACCGAUAAGAUCUUCGUAGAAUAUGUAGGAUCCAAUAUGGGCAUCCAGGUCCCGCUAUUGGAUAUUGACCGAGAAGUGUCUCGGUUCAUGUCUACAUAGUUCUCGAACACGCAGGGUCUGCACACUUAAGGUUCGAUGAUGUUUUAGUAUAGUUGAGUUAUAUGUGUUGGUGACCGAAGGUUGUUCGGAGUCCCGUAUGAGAUCACGGAUAUCACGAAGGUUUCCGGAAUGGUCCGGAAACGAAGAUUGAUAUAUAGGAAGUUGGUGUUUGAAUUCCGGAAGGUUUUCGGGCAUUGUCGGCAGUGUGCCGGGAGUGACGAAUGGGUUCCGGGGGCCCACUGGGUGGGCACACCACACCCCAAGGGGUCCACGUGGGUUUAUUGGAAGUACAAUAAGGUAUGAUGGGCUGACAAAGUUAUCCAAGGAAAGCCCAUGAGGAAAAAGUGGAAAAACCAAAAGAGGUGGAAAAAUAAGGAAGGAGUCAUAAUCCAAGUGGGAUUGGAGAAGGACUCCUCCCUCCCACUUCGGCCGACCCAAGGAGGGUUUCCUUGGUGCGCAAAGGCUGCCCAAGGCUGCCUCUCUCCUCCUCCUAUAUAUACUAGAGGUUUAGGGCUUUUGAGAAACACCUUUAUCCACGUGCAACUCAAACCUACACCUCGUAGUUCUUCCUCUAGAUUAGAUUCUUGCGGAGCUCAGGCGGAGCCCUGCAGGAAUAGAUCAUCACCAACACCGGCGCGCCGUCAUGCUGCCGGAGAACUCAUCUACUUCUCCGUCUCUCUUGCUCGAUCAAGAAGGCCGAGAUCUUCAUCGAGCUGUAUGUGUGCUGAACGCGGAGGUGCCGUCUGUUUGGCGCUAGAUCGGAACGAAUCGUGGGACGACGGUGAUUUGAAUCACGAAGAUGUACCACUACAUCAACCGUGUUUCUCAAUGCUUCCCGCUGAGCGAUCUACAAGGGCAUGUGUUCCUCUCGUAGAUGAACAUCACCAUGACAGGUCUUCGUGUGCGUAGGAAAUUUUUUGUUUCCCAUGCAACGUUCCCCAACGGCAAGGGCGCCGGGGCAUCUGCCACAUCCCCUACACUGGCCGAGGCGCGUCCCACCAUUGUCGUCCACAACGGGCGUCCACGCGCUUGAUGUGCCGCCUGUGGAGCUCCUGCAGCCUGCCAGCUGUGCGGCCUCGCUGGUCAAGACUGACUUCCUCGAUCUUGGCAACAACGGAAAGGGCAAUGAGCGUCAAGCCAACAUGGCGCAGCAGCAGGGAUAUACUCCAUCAUAUCCGGUUGAUCCCACCUGGUACAUGGACACGGGUGCCACUGAUCAUGUAACCAGUGAACUUGAUAAGCUUGAUGUGCGUGAGGCCUACCACGGGCCUGACAAGGUUGACACGGCUAAUGGGGCAGGUAUGCACAUCUCUCAUAUUGUUCAGGCAUCCCUUCUUACACAUACAUCUCGGCAGUUGCAUCUUAAGAAUGUUCUUCGAGUCCCCACUGUUGCACGUAAUUUGCUCUCUAUUCCUAAACUUACUUAUGACAAUAAUGUGUUUUGUGAGUUUCACCCGUUUGUUCUUUUUAUCAAGGACCGGGCCACUCGGGACGUGCUUCUUAAAGGUCGACUCCGCAAUGGACUAUAUGCGCUUGAUGUGCCGCGAUCUGUCUCCCUACCUGUCUCUCAAGUUCUUAGUGGUGUUAGAGUGUCCCCAUCACAAUGGCACUCUAGUCUUGGUCAUCCUGCCACGCCCAUUGUUCGCCAUGUUCUUCAUUGUCAUGAGCUACCAUUUGUGUCUAGUACUAAAGAUGUCUCAGUUUGUGAUGCUUGCCAGCAGGGAAUAAGUCAUCAAUUACCUUUUUCUGUUUCUAGUCAUGUAGUAAAAACUCCUCUUGAGCUUGUGUUUUCUGAUGUUUGGGGUCCUGCCCAAAUGUCUGUCAGUGGUCAUGAGUAUUAUGUCAGUUUUAUUGAUGCUUAUAGUCGGUUUACUUUGAUUUAUCUUCUUAAAGACAAGUCUGAUGUGUUUGAUAUUUUUCUUAAAUUUCAAGCACAUGUUGAGCAUCUCCUACAACACUAGAUUAUACAUGUAUAGUCGGAAUGGGGGGUGAGUACUGCAAUCUAAAUUAUUUCUUUGAAAAACUUGGGAUUUCGCAUCGACUGUCUUGUCCUCAUACACAUCAGCAGAAUGGUUCAGCUGAACGUAAGCAUCGUCAUAUUGUUGAAACUUUUUUAACCUUGCUAGCUCAUGCUUCGGUUCCCUUUCGUUUUUGGAGUGAUGCUUUUACUACAGCCUGUUUUCUCAUAAAUAGGCUUCCUUCGCGGCUUCUUGGCAUGAAAACUCCACUCGAACUCUUGCUUAAUGAGACUCCUGAUUACACAUUCCUUAAAGUUUUCAGUUGUGCAUGUUGGCCGCAUCUCCGUCCUUACAAUCUCCGCAAACUUGAGUUCCGCUCUAAAAAAUGUGUUUUUUCUGGGGUAUAGUUCGGUGCACAAAGGUUAUAAAUGUCUCCAUGUUCCGAUAAAUCGUGUGUACAUCUCGUGUGAUCUUGUCUUUGAUGAGCAUGUUUUUCCUUUUUCCAAUCUUCCAACCUCUACCACCACACCUACUCCGCCUCUGCAUUCAUAUCCUAUAUUGCCUGAUCAAUUUGUAGAUGCUGCACACUCGCCUUCUUUGUUCUCUAACCAUGGUGCAGGAACUGGUCGAGGUGCUCGCCUUCUUCUCCUAGAUGAACCAUCCGCUGAUGCUGCUAAGAGUUCGAUGGAGCAUGUUGAUGCUAUUGCUCUCUGCAUGGGACAUGCAGGGUCUUCUGUGCCGGUGCUUGCGCGUGCUUCGCAAGUGCACCAGGCUACAACAUCGUCGGCGUCGCCUACGACGACUGUGCCAGCCUCGCCUACGCCGACUGUGUCGGCCCCGCCUGAGCCAACUGAGCUGGCCUCGACUGUGUCGACCGAGCCGGCCUUGCUCGUGUCGACCGAGUUGGCCGUACCUGCGUCGACAGCGCCAACCUCGUCCUCAUCACCUGCAUCGCCUGUAAGGAAGCCAUCCGCUGGCCGUACGUUGCUGCUCCCGUCUAUUGCGGGUUCUCCGUCGCCGAGACAGCCGUCCCCGGCUGUUGAUGGGUUGCCUCCGCUCUCCCCUAGUGGACGGGUGUGCCGGCUACACUGGUUGCUCCGUCUUCAUCAACGGCUCUUGUGGCUUCGACCUACUCCACUGCUCCUGCUGCUAUGCGUCAUCAUACUCGCAGCAGGAGCGGCAUUGUUCGACCGCGACAACGAACCGAUGGCACGGUUGCAUGGCUCGCGGAUUGCGUGGCUCACUCUGAGUCCGAUCCUACUGCUGNNNNNNNNNNNNUGCUGAACCUCGACAUUAUCAGGUAGCUAUGGAUAUCCCUCACUGGAGCUCGGUGAUGGAACAAGAAUAUGAGGCCUUGCUUAAAAAUAACACAUGGCGUCUUGUUCCUCCGAAAAGUGGUGUCAAUGUUAUUGAUUCAAAGUGGGUAUUCAAGGUUAAGGGACAUGCUGAUGGCUCUGUUGAAAGGUAUAAGGCUCGGCUUGUUGCUCGCGGGUUCAAACAGCGACAAGGUCUUGACUAUGAGGACACUUUCAGUCAUGUCGUCAAGCCUACGACUAUUCGUUUGCUGCUAUCACUUGCUGUUACUCACGGAUGGUCCCUUAGACAGCUAGAUGUUCAGAAUGAUUUUCUUUAUGGUGUUCUUGAGGAAGAGGUUUAUAUGCAUCAACCCCCUGGUUUUGUUGAUCCGGAUCGCCCACAACAUUUGUGUCGUCCGGUGAAGGCUCUUUAUGGUCUGAAACAGGCACCUCGUGCCUGGCAUGCGCGUCUUGGUGCUGCUCUUCGUGCACAAGGAUUUGUUCCUUCGACAACUAAUAUGUCUUUGUUCAUGCUACGGAGUCCUACUGUCACUAUGUAUUUGUUGGUAUAUGUCGAUGAUAUCAUACUGCUCAGCUCGUCGGGAUUUGCUGCGGAUCAGCUCAUUUCUGCUUUGAGUGGUGAUUUUGCUCUUACUCAUCUUGGUCUGAUUCACUAUUUCCUCGGCUUGGAGGUCUCUCAGUCAGAUGCUGGUCUAACUCUCACUCAGCAGAAGUACUCUCAGGACCUGCUUCGUCGUGCUGGUAUGCUUCAGUGUAAGACUGCUACCACUCCUAUGUCGUCUUCUGAUCGACUCUCUGCACUUGAUGGUACUCUUCUCUCUUCGGAUGAUGCUACUCAGCAUCGCAGUAUUGUUGGUGGCUUGCAGUAUUUGACGAUUACUCGUCCGGAUAUAUCCUAUGCGGUUAACAGUGUGUGCCAGUUUCUUCAUGCUCCUCGCGAUACUCACUGGACAGGUGUGAAACGCAUUCUGCGCUAUGUUUGGCUGACUACUGCUCUCAGUCUGCAUCUUCGGCCUGCUCCUUCUGGUUCUCUCUCUGCUUUCUCUGAUGCGGAUUGGGCUGGUAGUCCAUAUGACAGGCGAUCCACGGGGGGAUAUGAAGUAUUCUAUGGUUCUAAUUUGAUCGCCUGGAGUGCUCGUAAGCAGGCCACAGUGUCUCGUAGUAGUACUGAGGUUGAGUAUAAAGUUGUUGCCAAUGCCACCGCUAAACUUAUUUGGGUUCAGUCUCUCCUUCGAGAGUUGGGAAUCUCUCAGGAUCGUUCACCUGUUCUUUGGCGUGAUAACAUUGGUGCCACAUACCUUUCUUCGAACCCGGUAUUUCAUGCCCGAACGAAACACAUCGAAGUUGACUAUCAUUUUGUAAGAGAACGAGUUUCGCAGAAGUUGCUUCAAAUCAAGUUCAUCCCGUCGAAAGAUCAACUUGCUCGCAUCUUCACGAAACCAUUGCCACUACCUCAAUUUGAGGGUUGUCGCCGCAAUCUUAAUCUUCUGAAUUCUUCAGAGCCCGGUUAAGAUUGAGGGAGGGUGUUAGACUUGUAUUUGUAUAUGUAUUGUAAUCCUUGUAUUGUUGUAUUUGUACCCGAUGAGGUGCCCCUUAUAUAUAUGUUACCAUAGCCUACCCAAGAGGUGUCGAACCCACAACAACCCAAAACCCUUUGUCUAUCAAACCUUGAUGUUUAGGCCACAUGGAUUGUCUUCGUCUCGAUUGAUUUUGAUAUAUAAAUUGUCCAAAAUCCGAAGUCAUAUGCAGCCUGCAGAGGCGAAACGAGUUCAGACUGUGUUUUCAUUUGGGAAAACCGAGUGAAAAGCUUAUCAUCCGAGUGAAAAUAUAGCUAUCCGAGUAAAGGCUUGAUGACCGAGUGAAAAGUUUUCAAAUAAGAGUGGAACUUUGGUCAAGGAGUCCAGAUACAUGAAUUCCGAGUGAAAAAUUGCUGUCCGAGUGAGAAAUUUCACUCGACCGACUAAAGGGCUCCAAAUCCGAGUGAUUUAGUCAAAUGGUAAAAAUUGGCCUGUAUGGUCGUCUAGAUGGCCUCGGAUGGAAAAGUGUUCAACAUAAUGUUGUUUGUAAUGUCGAAAUGGUCAACUUUUCUGUUAAGGUCAUUAUCAUCUGAGGUAGUACACGGCCUACAGGGAUGCUACAACACUCGGACGGUUCAGUCCACUACAUAACCGAGGUGAUUCAAAGUUAAAGAUGACCUCGUGGAGUAUUCAAGAUGACUUUAUUUGGAAAAGUGAACAACAUACGGAUUGUUGGCCUCAUCGAGGCACACAAAGUUAAUGUUUCGACUAUCUCCAUCGGAGGUCAUAUACAGAUUCCACGGCCCACGCAAGGAGCAAGACAGAAGAUUGGGCCAGAUUUGGGUUGAAUCCGAAUUAGACUGGAAUUAGAAUUCUAGGACGUGAUUUGGUGUAAUUUUCUUGUAAGGAAAGCCUAGAUGAAUCCUUUGCUUGUACGGGAAGUCCAUCCACCUUUUAUAUAUUGGAGGUGAUGGCCGAUUAAAACAACACACAAUCAAAACAUCAAUAUACUGCUUUUUCAUCUAUGUUUUAUCUCUCCAUCGUAUUUUAUCUUUUGUUCUUCGCCGUUCCUCAAGUUUGAGAGCUGCGAAUCCCGAGGCCCUAGGGUGAGCAAAUCGACCUAGGGAAUCCCAUAGCCGCCGCACUCCCUGACGGGGUCCCUCCCGGGCGUGUGGGGUUUCGGGUCCUCAAAAGCAUCCGCCGACUGUCUUGCGUAUCGCGUUGUCGAUCAGGUCUCCUUCGAUGUGAUUUGCGGUGCAUAACCCCCGGCAUCGAGGGUACACGUGACAUGUUCAUGUGUCAACACACUUUUUGGCGACUCCGUUGGGGACGAAAGAUCCNNNNNNNNNNNNNNNNNNNNNNNNNNNNNNNNNNNNNNNNNNNNNNNNNNNNNNNNNNNNNNNNNNNNNNNNNNNNNNNNNNNNNNNNNNNNNNNNNNNNGAAGAUGAAUGAAGGCAAGGUACAUCGUAAGUGGAUCAAGCCAACUUUUGACAUGUUGUUGUCCAAGUAUGUCAAUCAAUCAGCCGGUUCUAGCUCUAAUCGGUCAUCGUACCUGAAGCGACCAAGGUCACCAUCAGCUGAUAUGUUCAGUCGGUAUGCAAAACCGACUGGAUCAAGGGUACCGUUUCCACAAGAACAACGACAACCUGUUUGGGAUCGACUUGGAUGCUCAUAUGAAAACCGACUGAAUAUUGGUGUCCAUCACUCGGUUGGUCAAAAUAUGCCACUGAGUGGAAAUUACCCGAGUGUAAGAGUGCACCCGAGUGAAAGUUAUCUGAAUGAAAGAAUACUGCCGAGUGGAUACUAUUCAGUUAAACGUGUGAGUGGAUUUCAUCCGAGUAAAAGGGUGCGCCCGAGUGAUAACUUUGUAGGCCAAAAAAGUCAACAAGAGUGGCGUGUCAAGUUGCCAAGUGUUGCACCAGUGAAGUCAAGAAAAGGCAAGGAAAAAGUCAAUACUGACUCACUCAUCUUGGGAGACAAAACAUUCACCAUACAACAGCCGACUGUGCAUAACAAUCUGACUGAGCCGAUACUCGCUAUCGCGCCAAAGCAUUCGGCUAAUAAUCAUGAGGUAAGUACUAGCCAAGCCAAGCCACGAGAUCCUAGAUACACUCAACCGAGGUGGUGUCCUCCAGGGCUAACGAAAACACAAAAGAGGAAACUACAGAGGUUAAGGAAUCAAGAGAUGGCAAAACGAUAGGUCGAGAAGCAAAGAGAUAAAUUGUCAAAUGAUACUCGGCCCAUGGUGCCUACAAAACAAGUAUAGAAGCCUAAACAAAUGGAAGAUGCAACGGCUUCUACACCUAUCACAGCAAGACCUACACCACUGACGGAGGACGAUGCAGCCAUUGCUACAUCAUCCACUUCACCUUUUAUUACUUCUUCACUUGGAGAUAUUUCGGAGUCCGUGGACAUGCUUGAGGAUGGAAAUGAUAUUUUCGACUAUGAGCCUACACCAGUUCAUGAAGGUAUGGAUAUCAAUAUGGUGUACUAUCUACCCACUGAGUUUCGUGCUGUGAAUGAAGAAGGAGAGGUGGCUCAACUAGAUUUUGGCCCUAAAAAUGCAAUAUUCGAGAAGCCAAAAGAACCAGUGACGCACUUGAAACCAUUGUACCUCAGAGGUCAUAUCAAUGGAUCACCACUCACUCGGAUGCUUGUUGAUGGUGGUGCUAUGGUGAAUCUCAUGCCCUAUUCGGUCUUCAAGAAAUUGGGUUUGCCCGAUGAUGAAUUAAUCAAGACCAAUAUGGUGCUCAAUGGGUUUGAAGGCAAACAGAAAACUGAAGCCAAAGGUGUGAUGUAUGUGGAACUUACACUUGGAAGGAAACUUUGGCUACUGUAUUCUUUGUCGCCGAGGUGCAAGGUAAUUAUAAUGUGAUUUUAGGUCGCGAUUGGGUUCAUGCAAACCAGUGCGUGCCAUCUACUAUGCACCAGUUCUUAAUUCAGUGGGUUGGCAAUGAAGUGGAAGUCAUUCAUGCAGAUAACUCGGCUUGUGUUGCUUUGGCCGAUGCAUCAGUGAAUUGGCAACAUUCCAAUGCUACUUGCUUGACAGGGCGUGACCUAUCAGAGUUUGAUUUUCUUAGCGCUACAAAGAGUGGUUUUGUGCCAGUUUCUUUAAAGCCGGUUGGAGGCAAUUGGCUCCAAGGUAUGAUAUGUUUAAAAGGAUUCUAAUUUCGAGUGGUUGCAAAAAGGUCUUGCAAAAUAUCGGUCUACCGAGAACGAUAUGUACGAAUCUAUAGAAGAGUUAGAUGACAUGGAUAAAUUAGGACAAGGUUUUACAUCGGCUGAUCCGUUAGAAGAGAUAGAUAUAGGAGAUGGUUCGGUCACUCGGCUGACUUUUGUAAACAAGAAUUUGAGAGCCGAUAGUAAAGCUGAGUUGAUUGGGAUAUUGAAAGAAUAUGUUUGUUGCUUUGCAUGGGAAUAUCAUGAGAUGCCAGGUUAAGCCAAGAUCUAGUGGAGCAUCGGUUACCUAUAAAGGCCGGUUUUAGACCUAAAAACAAUCAGCCAGAAAGUUUAAUCCAAGAACGUAUGAUCAAAUCAAGGAGGAGAUCGGUCGUUUGCUGAAACUAAUUUUAUUAGACCUUGCAGGUUUGCCGAGUGGAUUUCUAACAUUGUACCAGUGGAGAAAAAGGGGUCGGGCAUGUUAAGGGUGUGCAUUGAUUUCAGAGAUUUGAAUAGGGCUACACCAAAUAAUGAGUAUCCCAUGCCAACAGCCAACAUGCUUAUUAAUGAUGCUUCUGGACAUAAGGUUAUCAACUUUCUUGAUGGUAAUGCGGGUUACAAUCAAAUUUUUAGGGCUGAAGAGGACAUGUCCAAGACAACAUUUCGUUGCCCUGGUUUCCUUGGUCUAUUCGAGUGGACAGUGAUGACAUUCGGGUUAAAAAAUGCUCGCACCACAUAUCAAAGGGCUAUGAAUUUAAUUUUCCAUGAUUUACUCGGUAUUAUACUUGAAGUCUAUAUUGAUGAUAUUUUUGUCAAAUCGGAUGCCUUUGAGUCUCAUUUGGUCGAUUUGUGUUUAGCAUUUGAAAGAAUGAAAAAAUACGGACUGAAGAUGAAUCCUUUGAAGUGUGCAUUCGGUGUGUCGGCUGGAAAGUUUUUGGGUUUCAUUAUUCAUGAGAAUGGCGUGGAAAUUGAUCCCAAAAAGAUAGAAGCUGUACAAAAAGUGGAGGCUCCAACAUGCAAGAGAAAUAUGCAAAAAUUCCUUGGCAAGGUUAAUUAUUUGAGAAGGUUCAUAGCUAAUUUGUCGGGGAAGGUUGAUGCGUUCACUCCUAUCCUUCGGUUAAAGAAUGAUGUUGAUUUUACUUGGGGGGGGGGACAACAAGAGUCAUUCAACAUGAUCAAGAAUUAUUUGAGCACUCCCCCGGUGAUGAAAGGACCCAAACAUAAAGAGCCCUUUAGGCUUUACAUUGCGGCGGAGGAAGGUGUUAUUGGUGCUGUUUUGAUUCAAGAGACCGAAGGAAAAGAGCAUGUUAUGACAUAUUUGAGUCGACGUUUAUUAGAUGUCGAGACAAGGUACACAUUUAUUGAAAAAAUAUGCCUUUGUUUAUAUUACGCUUGCACAAAGCUAAGACCUUACUUAGUGUCGAGUGCUUGCAUAAUAGCUUGUCAAAUCGAUGUCAUUAAGUAUAUGUUGCAUAGGACAAUUCUUAGUGGUAGAUUUGGCAAGUGGGCUUAUGCUUUGAUUGAAUAUGAUUUGGCAUAUGAAUCUUUGAAAUCCAUGAAAGGAUAGAUAGUUUCUGAUUUCAUUGUUGAGCAUCGGAUUAAUGACAAGCACGAUGUUGAUGUAAACACUCUCUCGGUAGUACCGUGGAGAUUACAUUUUGAUAGUUCAGUUUGUAGCAAUGGACAAGGUGUUGGUAUUGUUUAUAUAUCUACCCAUGGUGCUGUUUUUGAAGCCUCGUGUCGAUUAGAAUAUUAUUGCACAAAUAAUCAAGCCGAAUAUGAAGCACUGUUAUUCGGCCUAGAGAUGUUGAUAGUUGUAGGCGCUGCACAUAUUGAGGAUUUUGGUGAUUCGUUAUUAGUGGUACAAAAAAUAUCCAGAGUUUUUCAAUGUAUUGACAAAUCACUUAAUAUUUAUCUUGAAAAAUGUCUAGAUAUAAUUUCUGCUUUGGAUUAUUUUAGCAUUGCUCAUAUAUCUAGACAUGACAAUUGGAGAGCGAAUGAUUUGGCACAACAAGCAUCCGGCUAUCAUGUUUAUCAUGGCAUGUUUCAUAUUUCUAAAAAGGCGAUGUAUAGCUUUGCCAGUAUGAGAUAGGCCGAACCAGAACAUACAACUUUGGCCACUAACAAAAAAUCUAGUACAAGUGAAAAUCUAGACUGGAGGAAGCCCAUUAUGGAUUACUUGUGUGAUCCGGGUGAAAGGGUGGACAGGGCUGUUCGGCGUAUAGCUUUCAAAUAUGUGAUGAGCGAUAAUGAACUUUAUCGCCUAACAGUUGAUGAUAUUCUUUUGAAGUGCUUGGACGAAGACCAAGCUAGAAUUGCUAUGGGAGAGGUACAUGAAGGUAUUUGUGGAACUCAUCAGUCGGCUCCCAAGAUGAAGUGGUUGUUGCGACGUGCUGGGUUUUAUUGACCGACGAUAAUUAAUGAUUGCUUCAGGUAUUAUAAAGGAUGUGAAGCUUGUCAAAAAUUUGGUGAUAUUCAGUUGGCUCCUACUACUAUGUUACAUCCUGUUAUCAAGUUGUGGCCUUUUAGAGGAUGGGGUUUAGACUUCAUUGGACAAAUUCAUCCAUCUUCUUCAAAUGGGCAUCGGUUCGUGUUGGUGGCAACCGAUUAUUUCACUAAAUGGUGUGAAGCAGUACCUCUCAAGAACAUGACGCAUACGGAGGUAAUUCAAUUCAUAACCGAACACAUUAUUCAUAGAUUCGGCAUUCCUUAGACGUUAACUACAGAUCAAGGUUCGUCUUUCAUGUCACAUCAAGUUAGAGUAUUUGCCAAAUCGUACAACGUAAAGUUGCUCAAUUCAUCUCCGUAUUAUGCCCAAGCUAAUGGACAAGCUGAGUCUAGCAACAAAAUAUUGAUUAAACUCAUCAAGAAGAAGAUUGAGGAUAAUCCAAGAAAAUGGCAUGAGUUGUUGUCUGAGGAUUUAUGGGCACAUAGAAUCUCGAGACAUGGUGCUACAAAGGUAACUCCGUAUGAGCUAGUAUACGGUCAAGAAGCUGUUAUACCACUAGAACUAAAUUUGAGUGCUUUGAGAAUAGCCAAAAAAUGAUUUAUCGGCAGUGGACUUUUAUGAUUUGAUGAUGGACAAUAUUGAUGAAGUUGCGGAUAAACGUUUGGCUGCAUUAAAGGCCAUAGAGAAGGACAAGUUGAGGGUAGCGAGAGCUUACAAUAAAAAGGUCAAGUUGAAGAAUUUUCAAAUUGGCGAUCUUGUGUGGAAAGUAAUUCUGCCGAUUGGUUCUAGAGAUAGAAAAUUCGGGAAGUGGUCUCCAAACUGGGAAGGUCCUUUUAGGAUUGCAAGAAUAGUUCCUAGAAAUUCAUAUUUGGUGGAAUACAUACAAGGAGUAUUAUUACCUCGAGCUCUCAAUGGCAGAUAUCUCAAGAAGUACCACCCGAGUGUAUGGCAAGAAGCCUAAUUAGGCAAUGGACGAAAAAUGAUUAUCGCCCUUAUCAUAAAUAUGGCCGAUACAAAAUUACCGCAGUGAGAAAUAUAAAUGGCCGAUGGAGUGUUGGCAUCGUCCUUAGGACAAAUGUAGUGCAAAUUAUUUUUCGGCAUGCAAGCUUUACCAAAAAACAAGGGGCAUGUGUUGACACCUCAUUUUAGCAUGAUGCCAAAUGCAGUAAAGAUGGACUCAAACGAGAAGGUUUUUUAUACGAGAAAGUUCAUAUUGCCGAUUGAAACAACAUUGAUGUUUAGACCACAUGGAUUGUCUUCGUAUCGAUUGAUUUUGAUAUAUGAAUUGUACAAAUCCAAAGUCGUAUGCAGCCUGCAGAGGCGAAACGAGUUCAGGCUAUGUUUUCAUUUCGGAAAACUGAGUGAAAAGCUUAUUAUCCGAGUGAAAAUAUAGCUAUCCGACUGAAGGCUUGAUGACUGAGUGAAAAGUUUUCAAAUACGAGUGGAACUUCGGUCAAGGAGUCCAUAUACAUGAAUUCCGAGUGAAAAAAUGUUGUCCGAGUAUGAAAUUUCACUCGAACGACUAAAGGGCUCCAGAUCCGAGUGAUUUAGCCAAAAGGUAAAAAUUGUCGUGUAUGGUCAUCUAGAUGGCCUCCGAUGGAAAAGUGUUCAAUAUAAAGAUUGUUCGUAAUGUCCAAAUGGUCAACUUUGCUUUAAAGGCUAUUAUCAUCUGAGGUAGUACACAGCCUACAGGGACUCUACAACACUUGUACGGUUCAGUCCGCUACAUGACGGGGGCGGAUUCAAAGUUAAAGAUGACCUCGUGGAGUAUUUGAGAUGGCUAUAUUUGGGAAAGUGAUCAACAUACGGAUUGUUGGCCUCAUCGAGGCACACAAAAUUUAUGUUUGGACCGUCUCCAUCGGAGGUCAUAUACAGAUUCCACGGUCCACGCAAGGAGCAAGACAGAAGAUUGGGCCAGAUUUGGGCUGAAUCCGAAUUAGACUAGAAUUAGAAUCCUAGGACGUGAUUUGCUGUAAUUUUCUUAUAAGGAAAGCCUAGAUGAAUCCUUUGCUUGUACGGGAAGUCCAGCCGGCUCUAUAUAUAUUGGAGGUGAUGGCCGAUUAAAACAACACACAAUCAAAACAUCAAUAUACUACUUUUUCAUCUAUGUUUUAUCUCUCCAUCGUAUUUUAUAUCUCGUUCUUUGAUGUUCCUCAAAUUUGAGAUCUGCGAAUCCCGAGGCCCUAUGGGCAAGCGAAUCGACCUAGGGCAGCCCAUAGCCACCUCACUCCUUGACGGGGUCCCUCCCGGGCGUGUGGGGUUUUGGGUCCUCAAAAGCAUCCGCCGACUGUCUUGCGUAUCGCGAUGUCGGUCGGGUCUCCUUCGACGUGAGUUGCGAUGCAUCACCCUCGGCAUCGAGGGUACUCGUGACGUGUUCAUGUGUCAACAGUCUCAUCGUAAGUGAUCGAGAAGUCGAAGCUGGAUCUUUCAGGAUGUUUUUCACAUGAUAAUGUUCGCACGUGAUACUUUGAGGCCGAGACAUCAUAGUCAUGUGAUAUGGAUAGUUUCUCUUCGAUGAGUUGUGAUCUGUUUGGUUGCACUUGAGCCACACCUAAGUUUUUUGGGCCUAGGCAUUCUGGUGUGUGACCCUAACGAUGUCCAUUGAUGUCGCAUUUGUAUUGUCCCUAUGCUCAAGAUCUAGUGAUUUUUAAUGUUUUUUCCUUUAUCUUUCUUUUUAGGUUUUUAUUCGGUUUUCCAUGGUUAGCUGAAAAUGUUAUAUUUUUGGAUCUCUUUUUUAUAAACUGAACCAACUCUCUUCUUCUUAAUGAAAUGUUUCCUGCCCUUGCAUGUGGUUUCUUAAAAAAGAUCUUUAAAAGAUCACCCAUGCGCAAACAUCUAUUUUUGUGCUGCCGAAAACGAAACGAGAGAAGGUCGUUGUCUGAAAACCCAAUUUGUUCUUUUCUCGGAAAGUAGGGAUCGACGUAUUGUGCCAUGAUGAUUAGGCUUAGCCACAUUGCUCCUUUUCACAAAGUUUGAACAGAGUAUUCUGAGAUCAUCGGAUGCCAGCUCAGACAGUUCCCUAUUUGGUACCCAGGCAUUACGAUUCACUACUCGUGUCUAACUAUUACGGUGUGGAAAUAUGUAGAACAAAGACUAGAGAAACACAUUUACAUUUGGAAGACCAGACACCGAAUAGGGAACUGCCUUAGAAACACAUUCACGUCGGCAUAACUCUUGUCUUAUGGGUUGUUUGGUUGUGAUCAAUUUCGUCCUUAGCAAUAUGGUUUAUACAGGUUGUCCUUCUUUCCCUUACUGAAAGGUGUUCUAUAGAGACCGGGUUAUUUUAAAUACAAUUUUUUCUAGCAGCAUGAUAAAUAAUCAAAGAAAUACUAGCUAACUAGGUGGAAUGUGUUAUGCCGACGUGAAAGUCAAGGGGUCCUAGAAUCCAUGAUCUUGAGAUAAAAACAUUGAUCUUCUCAGUAAUGGAAUUUAAAAUCCCGGAAUGAAGUGUGGCAUAAAAUCAUCCGUAACAAGUACGAGGAUUCCAAAGCCAUUUCUCAACUCCAUUGAAUCCCAAGUAUUCACAUUUUUCCUUGCUUGAUUAAGGUCAGGAAAUUAUUCUCCAAGUGUGUUACUUUCUUGGUUAAGGAUGACUCGCAGUUUGGAUUAUGAGAGGAUACCUGKUUGGGGGGGGGGCACACCACUCAUGGUACAAUAAUAAGAUACAUAUUGGAUUGUUAGACAUAACUUUAUCAUAACCGCAUAUGUCUUGGCACAAGCAAAUCUUGGUAUUUCUUUCUGUAUGGACCAACUAGGGCCUUAUCUCGUAACGUGGAAUGAAUUUUUCACACAUUUGGAGCUCAAAUGUCAAAUGAACCAGCCGUGUAUAGAUGAAAUUUGCACUAGAAACUGCAUGUUUUCUGUCAAGUCCUUAUAUGAGGGGAUUGCCUACAAUAAUGUUCAUGUCAGUAAUAAAAAAAUACAAAAUCCAAACAACCACUUAGAGUGAUGACUCCAUACUUGGUCUAUCAUGCCGUGGCCGGGGACCUUUUUAUGAUGACGUCUAUCUGAUAGGAUCAUAAUAUUAGGGAGAUUUUCUCACAUCGAGCAUGGAAAUAUAAUAUUUAGAUAGGGCAUGGCUCGCCUUUUUAAUUUAUGUGUGAGAUGUUCAGUUCCUUUUGAUCGCGUUGGAUGCAUUGGUUGUGUGCAUCACGUUAUGCAUAGGUCACACACUCGCUCAUUGCAUUUGUAUCAUCUCAAUAUAUUGAUUGCAUGAAGAUGUCCUUUAUCCAGAAAUAUAUAUGAGCCUAUCUAUAUCCAAGUUGAGCAUAAGGGGAUGGUGAAAGAAUAUUUAAAUACUCACACCAUAUCAACAAUCUCAAUCGCUAGUUUUUGGUGUGAUGAAAUUUCUUACAAGGUUCACUCCUCACCAAAUGCUAUUUUGAUUUUGCGCAGACACCAACAAGAUAAUCGAUGAUGAAGACUGAUGGAGGUCUAUUUCUGGCUGCUCAACGUUGUGUUGUUGAUCUCCUUCUUUGUGCCAAUUUUGAUGGAAUGGCUAGUGCCUUUUUUAAUAGACCCGAGGGGGUUGUUCUCUCUUCUACCUCGGAUGUUGUAACCAGAGUUUAAGAUUUUGUAUCUUUUUAGGAUAUUAAAAAAAUUAAAAUAGGAAAUAUUAAUUUUGAUGUUUAAUUUCCUUUAGUAAAACAAUAGCUUAGACUCCGGCAUCAAUCUUAAUUUUUAGGAUAUUAUUUCAUAGAAUCGUGCAUUUGGAUGCAUUUCAUAGUUCAGUGAAAACCAAUUUACAUAUAUAGUACAAAAUACAGGGGUCGCAAGUUGGCUACAUCCCACAAAUAGCUAACCACCACUAGCACCUCAAGAGAAGGUCCAUCCUCAAUACCAACCAAAACUGCCGCACAGUCGUUUGAAGUAAUUCCCAUGACAGAUCGUCGCCAUGUUAUAAUAAUCGAUGUCUAAGUCAUCUUUAAUUUAUAUAAACAACAUCAAAUCCAUUGUUUUCUUGUGCUCCUCCAUACAAUGUGGAUCCUCAAUGACAUAAGUAUCAUAUGGUUUAGGUUUGAGCCCAUAAUAUGAUUGAUACUAAGCGUUUUAUAUUUAUUUAUAACUCAGUUACUCAAAAUGCUAUAUCUUUGGGAUAUUUGGUUGCCAUAUUAAUUACAUCAAAAAAUGCUAAAUAUUAAUUAUAAUCGGACCGUUAUAUAGUUAAAAUGUCUCAGCCCAUUCGAGUUUUGCUUGGAAGCAAGAACCUCUUCUUUAUUUUCGUUUUUUGCCCAAGAUAAAUCAUAAUUUUUUUUGCUUGUUAAGUUUAAAAUCGUGUUUUGUAAGAAAAUAUACAUUAGUCUUUGUCUCUCGAACAUUUCAAGUUAAAAGGUAUUUAAACCAAAUAUCAAAAAGGCCAGAAAAAACUCGCAUGUUCCCUGGAUUAUUCCUUGGCAUUUGCAUGAACUAUAUAGUGUCUAUAUAUCCUUGUGUUUGUGUUUGNNNNNNNNNNNNNNNNNNNNNNNNNNNNNNNNNNNNNNNNNNNNNNNNNNNNNNNNNNNNNNNNNNNNNNNNNNNNNNNNNNNNNNNNNNNNNNNNNNNNGCAAGCGCGACCCCGAAGACGAGCCCGUCUCAGCCUCCGAGGAAUCGGGCGACGAGGAGGUAAAGCGCCCAAGCCCUCGCGUUUUCCUUAACCGCCACGCGGAUCCGCGGAAUCCUCAUCGGCAGGUGGUUUUAUCUGGUCCGCAGCAGGAUGUUUCCUCGUCGUCGGGGUCGGAGUCGGAGUCGGAGAACGACGAGUUAACGGACCGGGAGAGGAAGCUGGAGCGCGUGCUCGCCGACGUGCCCUUCGGGGAGCUGCAGCGGGCGCGUGCCGACGGGUCGCUCGGGGCUCGGGGUGUUUCUGCCGCCGCCGCCGCGCAGAAGAAGGCUCGCAGGGAGAGCAGGAAGAGGUCCGGUUCCAUGCCGUGCCGGUUCCUGUUUAGGAGUAUUAGCCAAUUUGGGGAGGUGAAUGUUUUUGCUGAUGUGUUCAUCUGGUUUUCGACAGGCCCAUGGAGAUUAGCACGAAUGUACGACCGCCUAGACUCAGGGAGGUGAUUCAGGUUCCCAAGAAGGUCAGUUGCUUAUGCAAUUCAUUUCAUAUUUAGCGUGUUUCUGGGAGGGUAGAUCCAAUUCGAUUGGAUCUGUAGUACUUCGUAUUUUUGUAGUAGAUACGAACUCCCUCCGUCCUAAAAUAAGUGUCUUAAGCUUAAUAUAAUUUUGUACUAUCACUAGUACAAAGUUGAAACAGUUAUUUUGGGACGGAGGUUAGUAUAUGAUAAGCACACCCAUAGUUCAAUUAGAACCUUUGCGAGUUCAGUCUGUCCAUUUUAUUGUUUCAAGGCUUCAAAAGCUUUUCUCAACGACUGUGUGAAGACGGGAAAUCUCGACCCGAAAGAGGUNNNNNNNNNNNNNNNNNNNNNNNNNNNNNNNNNNNNNNNNNNNNNNNNNNNNNNNNNNNNNNNNNNNNNNNNNNNNNNNNNNNNNNNNNNNNNNNNNNNNUCAAACGGGUUUAAAUAUUUUCUUUUGAAUUGGCGACCAAUUCAAGAAAAGACGAACAUAAUUUUUGAUGUUGGAGGAUUUUAUUUUAAAUUCACAAACAGUUUUUGAAACGCAUGAAGUUUUUCUGAAUAAAAAACAUUUUUAUAAAUCAGUAAUAUAUUUAUUAAAUUCAUGGACAUUGUUUUGGAGUUUGCAAAAAAAAUAUAUAAAUCCGGCGCUUUUUUGAAUCCUAUUUUUAAUUCAAAAUAGAAAUUCAUCAGCAUUUUAAUUCAAAGUUCCUAUUUCUUAAUAUGCAAAAGUUUUUGUAAUUCUAAAUUAUUUAAAUUAUAAAUAAACAGAAAUGGAACGGAAAAUUUUAAAUAAAAAAAAGAAACUAUCAAAACAGGCAUUAGCUAUUUUUAAAAUUUUAGGACAUUUUUUAAAUGUAUUAACAUAUUUUGAAUUAGAAAGCAUUUUGUUAAAUGCCUUUAAUAAUUUUUAAUACAUGGAAUUGUAUUUGGGACCAUGGACUUUUUUAUUGUACAAACAUUUUUCUAAAAUUGCAAACAUUUUAUUGUAUAUGCGAGCAUUUUUUACAAAACUCCGAGCAGUUUUUGAAGUCAUAAAUAAUUUAGUUUUUUAAAUAUAUUGAUUUAUAAUUUUCAGUUUAUUAAAAUUUUAAGGAUUAUUUGAAGUUCUAAAUUAUUUAAAAUAAAAAAAUAAAAUGGAACUGAAAAUAAAUAAAUAAAAGGAACUAAAAGCAGGAGCCUGUGCAUGGGCCGGCCCAUACGGUGUGCUGGAUAUUCUCCUAUCAUGCAGAGCGUAAUAUAGGAGGUUUUUACAUGGGCCGGCCCAGUCCAAGAUUUUUCGCUUUGUGAAACGUUUUCUAUUACUUACCGGAGGCAUGGUUGGUAAUUUAUGCAAACUUUAAGGGUAAUUUUCAAGACGGACGACCAGAAACCGUAUUUGCUUUAUUAUUAGGGAGAGAUGUGCAGCUUGUAUUAUCUGGGGACAAAAGCCAUCUAUAUACCUACUAAUAAAAGAAAUAUGUAUUCUUAGUCCGUCGUAAUAUUUUUUUUAAAAAAACCUUCUAUUUUAUGGUAAUUGAACUCGCGGUCCUUAACUUUAAUGGAAAAAAACGUUUUGUCUUUCUAUAAAAAAAACCAAGGCAACUUCGCUCCGGCGCGUUCCGGCGCUCCUCCUCCACCUCCCCUCCCCCUCCUCCUCCCCUCGCGCGUGGAUUAGUCUGCCGCCCCUCCUCCUCCUCCCCNNNNNNNNNNNNNNNNNNNNNNNNNNNNNNNNNNNNNNNNNNNNNNNNNNNNNNNNNNNNNNNNNNNNNNNNNNNNNNNNNNNNNNNNNNNNNNNNNNNNAACCAUCAUCAUCAUCCAUCAUGUCUGAUCUGCCCAACCCAUGUGAAGUUAACGUCGAUAAUAUCAUUAAGCCCAAGCUUGAUGAACUAUCGGCCGAUCAUCGUCAAGCCUAUGAGGAGUACAAGAAGGAACACGAGGAGAAGGAGCUGCAGGAGUUCCUUGCAAACUUCUAGAAGGAUCGCCAAGGCAAUAUCACUCCGAUUGGAGAAAUCAAGUUCCCUCCUCUUCAAGCCGAGCAGGUUAAACCCCGUGUGAGUACUAGCUUUUCUCCUGAGCAAUGGGCUGAGAUUGAGAGUCGUAUUGUCGAUGGUAACAAUCUGGUCUAUCAAUCUUUCUUAGAAAAUACCACUGCUCAGAAAAUAUGCCUUAAUCAUCUGCUCAUAAUGUUGGUAUGCGGAGUGGUGCAGAAAACCCUAAUCUAUCUAUACCUAUUGCAUCGGCACCUACCAUGCCGAUGAAUUAUUAUCCUUCCCAAACAAACUAGAUUGCGGCUGCACCCAUUAGUCCUAUCAUGAGCAUACCAAGUUCGGUGGCAACACCAAGCCAAGCGUUACCUAUCGGUGCAAACGUUGCUAGAGCUUUGCCAAAUUAUGGUUCGGCAUAUAUACCACAGUUCCUACCUGCCGCUAGUAAUCCUACUCCUCCUAUGCCACUGCAGCAAACUUCAUUGUCCACUACGGAUGAUGCUCUAGCUAGUUUUAGAGAGGAGAUGGCUAAAAUGCUUCGAGAAAACUUUGGUGUUGAAUUACCUAGGAAUCGGAUUUAUCAAAAACCAUAUCCCGAGUACUUUGAUGCAAUAUAGUGCCCUCUAGGAUAUAAAAUCCCAGAUUUUGUUAAAUUUAAUGGAGAGGACACAAAAACCACAUGGGAGCAUGUUAGUCAAUACUUAGACCAGUUAGGUGAAGCGGGUUCACUAAAUGAAUUGAAAGUGCGUUUGUUUCCUUUGUCCUUAACCGGUACUGCAUUUUCAUGGUUUUCUUCCUUACCACAUGGCUCUAUCCGUGUAUGGUCGCAGGUAGAGCAGAAAUUUCAUGAUCAUUUUUAUACCGGCGACAAUGAACUUAAGUUACCGCAUCUUACAUCGGUUAAACAAAAGCAUGAUGAAUCGGUCUCCGAUUACGUCAAGAGAUUCAGAGAUACAAAAAACCGAUGUUAUAGUUUGGUGAUAACCGAGAGAGACUUAGCAGAUCUUGUGCUUAAUGGUUUGAAAACUCACAUAAAAUAAAAUCUAGAAGGCUAUGAAUUUUUAAGUAUCAACCAAGUCUUGCAAAGGGCUUUGGCUCAGGAAAGCCGAAGUAAAGAUCCUAAAGAAGUGCAUAGAUAUAAAACUGAUUGUCCAAAGAUGAAUAUGGUUGAAUAUGAUAGUGAUCACUCAGACGAAGAGGGUGACAUCUAUGCUACUGAAUUUGUUUAUCCAUCAAAUACCAAACCAUUUAAUUGCAAUGAUCUGAAACCGAUUCAUAAGAAUCGUGAUGAAGAGAUGAAGUUCACCUUUAACAUUGCUAAGUGUGAACAAAUAUUUGAUGCUUUGCUGCAAGCUAAGAUUACAAGAAUAUCUCAUACUUUACCACCGUUUGAAGAGAUGAAACGACGUGCUUAUUGCAAGUAUCAUAAUUCUUUUUCUCGUGCUACUAACGAUUGCAAUGUUUUUCGACGACAGAUACAAUCGGCCAUUAACGACGAACGAUUGAACUUUUCUGAGAUGCAAGUUGAUAAACAGUCUUUUCCUAUGAACACCAUAGAUUUGGAGGGGAAGAAGCUGCUCAUCCGGCUGGAGGUAGCCGAAUCUGCUAAUAAGUCCAAUGUUGUCAUAGGUGAGCCCAGGAAAAGCAAGGAGGGCGACAAGGUCUUGGGGAGACAAGUUAUGCUUGACAAACAGCCUAGUGGCAAGGAGAUAAUUAAGAUCACCAUCCAUAAUCCUACACUCGGGGGGGGGNNNNNNNNNNNNNNNNNNNNNNNNNNNNNNNNNNNNNNNNNNNNNNNNNNNNNNNNNNNNNNNNNNNNNNNNNNNNNNNNNNNNNNNNNNNNNNNNNNNNUUCCUAUUUAAAACAAACAGAGACAAAACUAAAUGCAUAGGCAAAUCUAUUGAGACUAAAAAUAAAACAAAAAUGCCCCUAGUCAUAAGGAAUUAUGAUCUAUUUGAAAAAAUGGAAAAGGAAUAUUUGGAGCAAAUAAAUAUUUACCAAACAGAAUUAAAUCCACUGUUUUGUGAAUAUUUGCACCCCUCAAACAAGGUUUCAAAUCACUAAAAUCAUAGCAUCACAUCCACCACAAAUCAUACUAAAGCAUGGGCAUUUUUGAAACAGGGAUGGAGCAAGUGAAUAUAGAGCUUGAGAUAAAUAGAGAGGGGGAAGUUUUUGGAACCUAGCAUAGUUGCAUCCUACUAACAAUUGCACCACUCCACACACUUCACAUAGAACCACAUAUCAUCACAUGUCAUCACACCACAUACACAUGAUCACAAGGAAACAAACACAAAUAGGCAUGGAUGAAUGGAUUCAUGAAUGCAAUGGGAAACAAGACAAGGUGACAUCACAUGAAAUAACACAUGCAUUGAACUCUCAAGACACUCACUGGAUGGACCCACAUACAGANNNNNNNNNNNNNNNNNNNNNNNNNNNNNNNNNNNNNNNNNNNNNNNNNNNNNNNNNNNNNNNNNNNNNNNNNNNNNNNNNNNNNNNNNNNNNNNNNNNNGUUGGUGCCACGAACCGGUACCAAAGGCCCGUGUGCUGCCUGCGUCGCGGCCAAAGUUUAGUCCCACCUCGCUAGUUGAGAGGGGCGCGCACUGGUUUAUAUGCCCCACUGCCACACCCCUCUCGAGCUCCUCUCCGCUGCAGGCUUACGGGCCUACUUGCUAAUGCUUUGCCUGAUGGGCCUUCUUGGCCUACUGCGGGCCUGAAUCCUGGCCCAUGGAUGGGUUUCUAGUCGUAUUCACGCCGUGGCGGCCUAGUUGGUGGCAAUUUUUUUAUUUUUUUCCCAGUUUUUUUGUUUUCUUUUUUGCUUUAUUUAUUUUAUUUCUUUUUUGCAUUGGUACCGGUUGUCUGCCACAGCCAUGGUGUGGUUGAAUGUUUAGUCUCACCUCGCCAAGCGAAGGACUUCCGAGCCUGUUUAUAAGCUCCGCCGCGGCUGCAACGUGGAGAGAACAUCUAUUUUUUAAUUUUUUUCCAUUAAUUUUAGUUUUGUUUUUUCUUUAUUUUAGUUUUGUUUAUUUUUUUAGUUAGCUUAUUUUGUUUUGUUUCUCCUUACAACAAAAUACUUAUUAUUUUUAUUUUUUUUGUUUCUAAUUACUUAUUUAUUUUAUUUCAUGAUAAUUAUUUUUGCCAUUAAAGUUUCUAACAAAAAAAGUUCUUUAUGAAAAUUCUUUUUCCUUUUAAUGAUUUUUAACAGAAAAUACUUUGAUAAUUUUAGUUGCAUUUAUUGAUUAUUUUUCUUUUAUUUUUUCUUUUGUUUAUUUUGUUUUGUUUCUACUUAAAUUCAAAGUGCUAGCUAGCUUAUUUUGUUUUGUUUCUACUUACAACAAAAUACUUAUUUAUUUUAUUUUGUUUUGUUUAUAAUUACUUAUUAAUUUUAUUUUAUGAUAAUUCUUUUUGCUAUUAAAGUUUCUCUCAUAUAUGGUGGACACUCCCUCACCUGAUUUUUCGACCGUCGAUGAUGGUCGCUAUUCCUUCUUCCCCUAAUGCAUAACAAAUAUCUAGUACAAGGAGAAGAAGGAAGAGCGACUCCCAUAACAACAGCCGACAUUCUUCUUCUCUCAUAUGCAUGAGCUAGAGUGGCAAGAGCAUGGCAUGCAUGCUCACACCUCAACACCCAAAAACACAAGAGAGGGGUGGGAGGGGGAGGUUUUAUAUAGGCAAUCCUUUAGUCCUGGUUCGUAUCUAAAACCGGGACUAAUAACAUAUGCGGCAUGCCACGUGUUUGCGCGGCACGCCACGUGGUUUCGCUUGAUCUUUAGUCCCGAUUUUUGUCCCGAACCGGGACUAAUAACAUAUGCGGCACGCCAUGUGUUUGCGCGUCACGCCACGUGGUUUCGCUGGAUCUUUAGACCCGGAAACUCGUGUGUUACAAAGGGAUUUCAUUUUUUUGAACUUAUUUGAACUCCAUAGUUUUUCUGUGUUCAAAAUGCACCAUUCAAAGCCACAUCAUCAAUUUACAACCCUUUCUGAAUUCAUUUGUCAUUUUUCAUGCAUUUACUGAUUAUUAUGAGCUAUAAGACCAUGAAAUUGAAAAACAUUUGAAAUGAACUCUGAUAAGGUUCCAAGUUGGCAUGGUAUCAUCAUUUCACCCACAUAGCAUGUGCGAGAAAGUUGAGAGGGUUACGGCAAAAACUGGAUGCACUUCGUGUACAAACGGACAAUCUCUUUCGAAGUAUCAGGGUUUCAUACGGAAACUCGUCUGUUACAAAGGGAUUUCAUUUUUUUGAACUUAUUUGAACUCCAUAGUUUUUUUGUGUUCAAAAUGCACCAUUCAAAGCCACAUCAUCAAUUUAUAACCCUUUCUAACUUCAUUUGUUCUUUUUCAUGCAUUUACUGAUUAUUUUGAGCUAUAAGACCAUGAAAUUGAAAAGCAUUUGAAAUGAACUCUGAAAAGGUUCCGAGUUGGCAUGGUAUCAUCAUUUCACCCACAUAGUAUGUGCGACAAAGUUGAGAGGGUUACGACAAAAACUGGAUGCACUUCGUGUACAAAACGGACAAUCUCUUUCGAAGUAUCACGGUUUCAUACAGAAACUCGUCUGUUACAAAGGGAUUUCAUUUGUUUGAACUUAUUUGAACUCCAUAGUUUUUCUGUGCUCAAAAUGCACCAUUCAAAGCCACAUCAUCAAUUUACAACCCUUUCUGACUUCAUUUGUUAUUUUUCAUGCAUUUAGUGAUUAUUUUGAGCUAUAAGACCAUGAAAUUGAAAAGCAUUUCGAAUAAACUCUGAAAAGGUUCCAAGUUGGCAUGGUAUCAUCAUUUCACCCACAUAGCAUGUGCGAGAAAGUUGAGAGGGUUACGACAAAAACUGGAUGCACUUUGUGUACAAAACGGACAAAUCUCUUUCGAAGUAUCAGGGUUUCAUACGGAAACUCGUCUGUUGCAAAGGGAUUUCAUUUUUUUGAACUUAUUUGUGUUGGGGAACGACGCAUGGGAAACAAAAAUUUCCUACGCGCACGAAGACCUAUCAUGGUGAUGUCCAUCUACGAGAGGGGAUGAGUGAUCUACGUACCCUUGUAGAUCGCACAGCAGAAGCGUUAGAGAACGCGGUUGAUGUAGUGGAACGUCCUCACGUCCCUCGAUCCGCCCCNNNNNNNNNNNNNNNNNNNNNNNNNNNNNNNNNNNNNNNNNNNNNNNNNNNNNNNNNNNNNNNNNNNNNNNNNNNNNNNNNNNNNNNNNNNNNNNNNNNNGUCAAGUUCAACGGCGUCUCCCACGAGAUCUACAUCAACUCCCAGGCAUCCUUCGGUAAUGCACGCGAAUCAAAUCAAAUCAAUUGCUUUGCCUUGCUUCGCCCGCUGGAUUUUUUGAUUUGAUCUGACUCGACUCGAGCUAGCUGCUGAUUGUGGGCGUGACGGUGAUUGGUGGUGCAGGCGAGCUGAAGAAGAUGAUGUCGGACAAGACCGGCCUGCACCACGAGGACCAGAAGGUGCUCUACAAGAGCAAGGAGAUGGACUCCAAGGCCUUCCUCGACAUGUCCGGCGUCAAGGACCGCUCCAAGCUGCUGCUGCUCGAGGACCCCGACGCGCAGGCCAAGCGCCUCAUCGAGCAGCGCCGCUCCGACAAGGCCCAGCGCGCCGCCAAGUCCAUCUCCCGCAUCAGCCUCGACGUCGACAAGCUCGCCACCAAGGUACGACCACUCUGCUCGUGCUCCUUCCCUUGUUCACUUUCGCCGUCCGCCGANNNNNNNNNNNNNNNNNNNNNNNNNNNNNNNNNNNNNNNNNNNNNNNNNNNNNNNNNNNNNNNNNNNNNNNNNNNNNNNNNNNNNNNNNNNNCGCUGUGCUGAUCGAAUUUGGGUGGCGGUGCACUGCAGGUGUCUGCGCUGCAGACCAUCGUGGGCAAGGGCGGGAAGGUGGUGGAGGCCGACGUGGUCGCCCUCACCGAGGCGCUUAUGACGGAGCUGGUCAAGCUCGACGCCAUCGCCGCCGACGGCGAGGUCAAGGUGCAGCGGCGAAUGCAGGUCAGCACGGCAACCCGGCCGAAUUUAAUUCCCCGCCGAUUCCGUUGACGAGCCCAUUAAUUAGCCGCGGGGCGGGCGAGCUGAAUCCGUGCCGGCUCUAAAUCUCUCUCUCUUUGGUGGUGCAGGAGAAGCGGGUGCAGAAGUACGUGGAGGCGCUUGACGCCAUCCGCGCCAAGAACACGGCCAACGGCCACGGNNNNNNNNNNNNNNNNNNNNNNNNNNNNNNNNNNNNNNNNNNNNNNNNNNNNNNNNNNNNNNNNNNNNNNNNNNNNNNNNNNNNNNNNNNNNNNNNNNNNGUCCCUCGAUCCGCCCCGCGAACCGUCCCGCGAUCAGUCCCACGAUCUAGUGCCGAACGGACGGCACCUCCGCGUUCAGCACACGUAUAGCUCGACGAUGAUCUCGGCCUUCUUGAUCCAGCAAGAGAGACGGAGAGGUAGAUGAGUUCUCCGGCAGCGUGAUGGCACUCUGGAGGUUGGUGGUGAUCUUAUCUCAGCAGGGCUCCGCCCGAGCUCCAUAGAAACGCGAUCUAGAGGUAAAACCGUGGAGAUAUGUGGUCGGGCUGCCGUGGCAAAGUUGUCUCAAAUCAGCCCUAAAACCUCCGUAUAUACAGGGGGAAGAGGGGGAGACUUGCCUUGGGGUCCAAGGACCCCCAGGGGGUUCGGCCGAGCCAAAGGGGGUAACCCUCCCCUUCCAAACCGAGUCCAACUAGGUUUGGAAGGAGGAGUCCUUCCCCCUUUUCCCACCUCCUCUUUUUUUUUCUCUUUGAUUUUCUUCCUAUGGCGCAUAGGGCCUUCUUGGGCUGUCCCACCAGCCCACUAAGGGCUGGUGCGCCACCCCCAAGGCCUAUGGGCUUCCCCGGGGUGGGUUGCCCCCCCCCCCCCNNNNNNNNNNNNNNNNNNNNNNNNNNNNNNNNNNNNNNNNNNNNNNNNNNNNNNNNNNNNNNNNNNNNNNNNNNNNNNNNNNNNNNNNNNNNNNNNNNNNNNNNNNNNNNNNNNNNNNNNNNNNNNNNNNNNNNNNNCAUUCCCGGUAACUGCGAAAUCCUUCUGGUAAUCAAAUGAGGUCAUCCUAUAUAUCAAUCUUCGUUUCCGGACCAUUCCGUAAACCCUCGUGACGUCCGUGAUCUCAUCCGGGACUCCGAAGAACAUUCGGUAACCAACCAUAUAACUCAAAUACGCAUAAAACAACGUCGAACCUUAAGUGUGCAGACCCUACGGGUUCGAGAACUAUGUAGACAUGACCCGAGAGACUCCUCGGUCAAUAUCCAAUAGCGGGACCUGGAUGCCUAUAUUGGAUCCUACAUAUUAUACGAAGAUCUUAUCGUUUGAACCUCAGUGCCAAGGAUUCAUAUAAUCCCGUAUGUCAUUCCCUUUGUCCUUCGGUAUGUUAAUUGCCCGAGAUUCGAUCGUCAGUAUCCGCAUACCUAUUUCAAUCUCGUUUACCGGCAAGUCUCUUUACUCGUUCCGUAAUACAAGAUCCCGCAACUUACACUAAUUCACAUUGCUUGCAAGGCUUGUGUGUGAUGUUGUAUUACCGAGUGGGCCCCGAGAUACCUCUCCGUCACACGGAGUGACAAAUCCCAGUCUUGAUCCAUACUAACUCAACGAACACCUUNNNNNNNNNNGUCACAUUGCUUGCAAGGCUUGUGUGUGAUGUUGUAUUAUCGAGUGGGCCCCGAGAUACCUCUUCGUCACAUGGAGUGACAAAUCCCAGUCUUGAUCCAUACUAACUCAACGAACACCUUCGGAGAUACCUGUAGAGCAUCUUUAUAGUCACCCAGUUAUGUUGCGACGUUUGAUACACACAAAGCACUCCUCCGGUGUGAGUGAGUUAUAUGAUCUCAUGGUCAUAGGAACAAAUACUUGACACGUAGAUAACAGUAGCAACUAAAUGACACGAUCAACAUGGUACGUCUAUUAGUUUGGGUCUAGUCCAUCACAUGAUUCUCCUAAUGAUNNNNNNNNNNCGUUGCAACGUUUGAUACACACAAAGCACUCCUCCGGUGUUAGUGAGUUAUAUGAUCUCAUGGUCAUAGGAACAAAUACUUGACACGCAGAAAACAGUAGCAACAAAAUGACACGAUCAACAUGCUACGUCUAUUAGUUUGGGUCUAGUCCAUCACAUGAUUCUCCUAAUGAUGUGAUCCCGUUAUCAAGUGACAACACUUGCCUAUGGUCAGGAAACCUUGACCAUCUUUGAUCAAUGAGCUAGUCAACUAGAGGCUUUACUAGGGACAGUGUUUUGUCUAUGUAUCCACACAUGCACUGUGUUUCCAAUCAAUACAAUUAUAGCAUAGAUAAUAAACGAUUAUCAUGAACUAAGAAAUAUAAUAAUAACUAAUUUAUUAUUGCCUCUAGGGCAUAUUUCCAACAGUGACCUCACCCAGUGAUAGAAGGGGUAGCGAGGCACGCAUCGUGUUGUUGCCAUCAAGGGUAAAANNNNNNNNNNNNNNNNNNNNNNNNNNNNNNNNNNNNNNNNNNNNNNNNNNNNNNNNNNNNNNNNNNNNNNNNNNNNNNNNNNNNNNNNNNNNNNNNNNNNUGAUGUAAUUUUCUUUGACGGUGUGUUUGUCGAGAUCCGAUGAAUUGUGGAUUUGUGAUCAGAUUAUCUAUGAUAUAUAUUUGAGUCUUUGUUGAUUUCUUUUAUGCAUGAUUUGAUAUCCUUGUAAGUCUCUCNNNNNNNNNNGUUUGAUGGUGUGUUUGUCGAGAUCCGAUGAAUUGUGGAUUUGUGAUCAGAUUAUNNNNNNNNNNCGAGUCUUGGGUUUUGUUUGGCCAACUAGAUCUAUGAUUCUUGCAAUGGGAGAAGUGCUUGGUUUUGGGUNNNNNNNNNNUGAGUCUUGGGUUUUGUUUGGCCAACUAGAUCUAUGAUUUUUGCAAUGGGAGAAGUGCUUGGUUUUGGGUUCUACCAUGUGGUGACCUUUCCCAGUGACAGUAGGGGCAGCAAGGCACAUAUUAAGUAGUUGCCGUCAAGGGUAACAAGACGGGCUCUAUCGUUGAUAUGAGAUUGUCCGUCUACAUCAUGUCAUCUUGAUUAAGGCGUUACUUUGUUCUUUUGGACUUAAUACACUAGAUGCAUGCUGGAUAGCGGUCGACNNNNNNNNNNNNNNNNNNNNNNNNNNNNNNNNNNNNNNNNNNNNNNNNNNNNNNNNNNNNNNNNNNNNNNNNNNNNNNNNNNNNNNNNNNNNNNNNNNNNCGCCGGGAGCGCCUGCCCCGGCAUCGGCGGCACGCUGUACCGCGCGCACGGGGCCAGCUGGCUCAGCUGCGCCCCGCAGGUGCCGCGCGGCGGCUGCGCCUUGGCCGCGCCGCCCAGGGUCACCAGCAGCAGGACCAGGAGGGCCGCCUGGCCCGUGGUCGCCGCCAUCGUCGUCGUCGCCGGCGGCUCGGUGCGCGCGCUGCGAGCUUGAGAGACGGAAAUGAGUUCCUGUGUGUGUGGUUGGCGGUGUGGUGGUGGUGCGGGAGCGCGUGGUUUUAUAGGUGGGGCGACGGAGGUGGGAGGCGGCGAGUCUUGCGUUGCUCACCUACGCUACGCAGGCAGCGGGCGGUGCUCGGAUCGGCGCCGGGCGGGAGGAGCGGGCCACGGCAAGCGUGUGAGGCACUGAGGCUGACCCGACCCAACUAAUAAGCCCAGCUCGGAGACCCGCUUCGUCCGUUUGAUCAUCGGGACAAAAAAACUUGGUUCAACGUAGAGACAUGUUUGGACCGGUGUCCUUUCACUAUCCGCGCCGAUCCAAUCUUUGACGAAUACCAGCAAACAUGUCUGUGUGUUACAGCAGGAGAAAAAAAAAUCAUCCCUAAUAGGCACUGGCCGAUACCAGUAAAUCCCUUGAAAUCUCCACACAACAAACAAUAUGAUAAGUGACGUUGCGUUAAACGUAAUGGUGGAUGAUUUUUGAAGUGUAUUCAAGGUGCUUUAAAAAAAAGUUAUGGACAUAAUUAAAUUUUUUGGAAAUUAACAUUAAGCCACUUGUUUACAUAAAGCUCAAAUCAUCAAUUUAGUGUACAACAUCGUAUAUUGGUUGGUUAUAUUGUGCAUGAUGUGAAAUAGGAUGACCGUGUACCUAUUGUAACCUUUAGCAUACAAAGUAGCUAGUAGAAAUCAACAUCCGCUAUGGUGCCAAUACUAUCUUUUACGAGAGUAUUAAACUAUCGUAUCUAUUCAAGUUAAAUGGAAUAAAAAAAAUAUGUAAUAGGCAUUUUCAAAAUACCCAAUAUAGAGAAGGUAUUAAUCAAGGUUGCAACAUAUAUUUUAUUUUAAAAAUGAGUAACAUGUAAGAUAAGAGUAUAUUUGAAAUCUACAUAUUCUUUUGAACAAUUAUCAUAUAUAACAUGUUAGAUUUGGAAUUAGGGUUUGAAAGAUAUGAAUAUCCUAAAAAGCAUUUGAAUUAGAAAAAAUAGCAUUUGAAUUAGAAAAAAUGAAAAAGGGGUAGCUGUUUUGAUGUGUUUAAUUUGGGACCGCACUGUAUAUAAACCGAAGUAAACGCCCCAUGUAGCAAAUUGAACUGUUUUUUUGUUUAUGAACGAUAUGAUGGGUAAUUUGUGUUAACUUUGGGAUAGUUCUAAUGACGAACUUGGCAGAAACAAUAACCUUUUUAUUAGUACGCAUAGAUGGGCUAGAAUGGGUUUCAAACAAACAGAAACGGACACUCCCGUCGUUUGCUGGUGCUCGCUUGUGUCCACCCUGGUCCCAAAGACCAGCGACCGCACCAGCCGGGGCUUUGCCUCCAUAAUGACGUGCACCGGCGCAUGCCACCUCUCUUUUUGAGUCAGUCGUUGUGUUAGGAUCUUGCCGGCGGGCCCGCGGCGCCGAUGAUUGGCCGAUCGUGGCCGCCAGACGCCACGUCGGGGUCCGACCACACAAGGGGGAGGAGCGGGGCACGACGAUUACCUCGCCAUGGAGGAAGGGGCGGGGCACAUAUAAAGGAUGGACGCGUUGAUGCGGAGGGAGAGGGUCAUGAACUUCGAAAACAUUUUUCUGUGCAAAUAAAUAUUGAAAAGGUACACAAUUUAUGAAAUGCAUGAAUAUUUUAUAAAGUGUGAGCACUUUUAGAAAAUUCUGAAUACUUUGAAAACCAAUCAAUUUUGAUAAAACGAUAACACUUUCUGAAACAUAUAUUUUAAAUCUAGAACAACAAAUUUAAAGUGCGAACAUUCUUUGAAAAUUAAAAAAAUGGUAACAAAAUUUGAAACCUGAGCAAACGUGUAAAGAAAUGUUUUUGACAUCUAAAAAAUAUCACAAGUUUAGAGAAAUGUACAUGGCAUUUCAAAAAAAUGUAUGUAUAAUGUAAAUAAUAUCCGUGUAAUUCUAACAAAUGUUUCUUCCAUUCAAAAAGAUGCAACAUUUCAAGAAUGUUCAAGAGUUUCAAAACAUGUGCUUGUAACAUUUUUAGAAAGAAGUGUAUACAAUGUAAAAAAGUUAGCGUGACGUAAAUAAUGUGUCAUACCCUUAGAAAAUUAUACCCGACAUGUGUUUGAAAUUUUAUAAAUGUGUAACAAUGUAAAAAAAUGUUUGUAUAGUUUUACAAGAUGUCUGUAUAGUUUUAUAAAUGUCUAUCGUCGUUAAGAAAUAAAAAAAUAUAUUUGAAAAAUAUUACUGUGUAUUCAUUUCUUUAAACAUGUAUCUAAAAAGAUAUAAAUAAAGUAUCAAAAAAUAUUUGUGCUAAAAAUUUGCAAUGUGUACUGACAAUAAUUAGACAUGUGUAAAAUAUAUAAUUGGUUACCGUACAGAAACAAAACAAAAGCGAAAAAAAAGAAAACACUAUGAAGAAAAUCAAGAAAGAAACAAAAGAAAUCAAAAGUAUAACGAGAAAGUAAAACCAGAUAAUGCCAGUGAAAAAAUAAAGCAUAACGAACAAAAAAUCAAAGAAAAAAAAGAAAACAAGACCAGCACGAGAGACUGUGCCAAUGGGCUGGCGCAGUUCAGCGAAUACCGGCUAAAUUCUAUCAACGUUUAAAAUAGACCGGGAUCAAGGAUUUUGGUUUGCUGAUUCCAGGAAUUAAGAGUUCAGAGUUUGAUUUAGCUUCGGCCUAUAUAUAUGAAAGGUUUGUUUUGGAUUUUUUUCCUUUUUCUUUUUGCUAUACUCGAGCGGUCUGGUGUUGUGGUGCACGUUGGCUUCUCCUGCCCAGGAAUCACCUCGCCAACAAGAUCCAAAAUGUCCUAAUAAAGAAAAUAAAAUAAAAAGAACAUGUUUCUGUCAAAAUAGGUAGCACUGUUGGGUAAAAAGACGCACGCCUUCGUUGCUCUCGUGAGGCAGGCGAUUGGGGUUUUCGUUGCCUCCCGUCGCAUAGCCGUCGAGCUGCCUUGUCUUCUGUGGCCUUAGGAUCAUGUAGACGCGAUCGAUCUCGGUCCUUGCUGGGGGGGGGGAGGUGUUUCAUUUUUAGAGUUUGUUUGAGUUUUGAUAGGGUUUGUGUCUUGCUCAGAAAGAUGAGGCGGUGCGUGUUUCUUGGAGAUGGAAUAAGUUUUUCCUCAUAUAGCCCCAGAUGAAAUAAGUUUUUCCUCAUAUAGCCCCCACCCGUUCUGAUGAUGCUUCUAGCAUCGCCGGAGGGUGUAUGAAGAUUUAUCUCGGACGGAUCUCAGGAGAUUCAGUCGACGUUUGACUUUGAUGGAUCCGAUCGGAUCCAUUUUUCGUUCGUCUAAGUUGAUGUGUCGGCAGGUUGGAUUUUUGGUGCUUAGUGUUGUUUUCAUACGGGGCGCUCACUAGCAAAGCCAUUGGGCCAGCCCAUGUAAAGCGAACAGUGAUUGAGCUGCCCAAUCUGAUUUUGCGAUUUUUGCACUCAUAUUUUCCCCUGAAUCUAUCAAUCAUUUUUUCAAAUACCACUCAAUUUUUUUCAGAAUCCACAAACUAUUUUUGCAAAUUUGUGAACAGUUUUUAAUCCACGAACUUUUUCCACAAAAAUCAUGAACUUUUUUCAAAUUCGCAAACACUCUCAAAUCAGUGAACUUUUCUUCAAAUUCACGAGAUUUUUCCAGAUCCAUGAGUUAUUUUUUCAAAUUCUCUAAGACUUAUAAAAUAAGUGAACUUUUUUAAAGUUCACUAAUACUUAUCCAAUCAGUGAAGUUUUUCUAACUCAUGAGUUUUUUUUCAAACCACAAUCUUUUUAUGAAUUCGCAACAAUAAAUUCAUGAACACUUUCCAAAUCAGGGAUGGUUAUUUUCAAAAUUCACAAACGUUUUAUGAAUUCACAAGUUUUAUUUUUCAAAUCCAUGAGUUUUUUGGAAUUUGCAAACUUUUAAAAAA
This 76132-nucleotide long non-coding RNA is filed under the name Hordeum vulgare. RNAcentral describes it as "long non-coding RNA (HVUL_LNC013583)". Lineage: Eukaryota; Viridiplantae; Streptophyta; Magnoliopsida; Poales; Poaceae. The record is from RNAcentral.